Molecule: long non-coding RNA, 53063 nt
Filed under: Vitis vinifera (wine grape)
Lineage: Eukaryota; Viridiplantae; Streptophyta; Magnoliopsida; Vitales; Vitaceae
Description: long non-coding RNA (VVIN_LNC001254)
Rfam family: U5 spliceosomal RNA (bases 24694-24809)
Source: RNAcentral
UGUAUUUGGCUAAUGGAUUAGCAUUUGGAAGAGCUUUUGCCACAAUCUAUACACUUCAUCUUUAACAGGUUGCCCUGACUGACAGUGAGGAGAGUGUGAUCUAAAGAGAAAUUGAAGCUCCGUUUACAAGAAAUUUCAAGAGAAACUCACACCCACCUUUGGAAGGAACUCAAAGGUCCACUCACACCCAACCAGCUUCCAGUUAAUACUUCAAAUUCACAUCAUCAAACAAGACCAUCAACUUCAACAUUCACUAAAGAAAUUAGCUCAAAAAAAUUCAAAAUCCACAAUUCCAAGUCUGCAUUUUUUUAAACUGGGAUUUGAAGGGUUCAACAAAACCUGAAUCCAGUUUGCUCAUAUGGCAAAUUAACUUUAUUACAAGAUUAAACUGGCCGGAUAAUUGAUAAUUGUCAUUGGCCUUUUGAUUCAGAGAUGGACUGUAAUGGGCUUGUAGUCGAAAACAAUGACUUUCUCCAGGUGGAGCAGGAACAGAUUUGAGAAUUCGACAUGGGCUGGAUGAGACACAUACUCUGCAAUGCCUUCCACACUCUCGAAGGUUGACUCGAAGACAUGAGUGAAACCUUGAUGCAUGUUCUCAAUGCUCACAUCCUUGCCCUUGUUACAUUACACAAGAUAUCACAAGUUUUAGAGAUUUAGAAGGCAUGGUAACAAGCAGCAUAACCAUUUCGCCAGGCACAACUCAAAGACAUCAGACUCAAACAUGAACCAUCGUAAAUUUCUUCACUUAUAUGAAAACAAAAAUGUUAGAAAGGGAUCUAUAGGUUCAACAGAAAUUGUUCUGAUUUUAUGAGCAACUAAUGCCUCAUUAUCAGAUGAGUUCAGGGCAUCUGCUUGGCAAAUUAAUAUUGAAGUUUUAAACCAAUAAAAAGAUUUAUUGUGCAUAUUCAUUAAAUAUUGUUAAGUGAUCGUCUAUUAUUUGGUUUUGUUUUUUGUCUGUUGUUGUAGUACUUAUUUUAUUUUAGUUUGGUAUUUUAUUUUAUUUUUUAUUUUUUAUUUUUUAUUGGACACUUUCUUUGAAUGAGAAGACUCAAAAGAGUUGUGUAAAGACUUAGAAUUUCCAACUUAUUGUAAUACAGUCAUCAGCAUUUUGGUGAAAGUAUUUCUGAAGCUUACAGGUUUUAGUUAUCUUUCUAAUGCCAGGUAAUUUCUUCUUCAUCUAUUUACUUUGUGGAAACCACCUCAGUCACACUCACGUAACUUAUUCCCAUACCUCUGCAAUUUGAGAUUUAAUAGACCUGUUUCUCCUAUUAACAUCAGGGGAGGCGGCCUUUUCUGCUUUAUGAAUUAAUCUUCACAAAUGUUUAUUCUAAGUUAUACUUUCUUGUCUCUUUUCAUGUCAAUCAUGUACAUUGGUAGACGUUAUUAAUUCUCUGAGUUAUGAAAUGGGAUUUAGGAAUUUAGGAUUAAAGGGAAAUAUGAUUUUAUGAAAUGUGUCUUAUCUAAUUCAUAGACCUCCAUGAUUUCAGCUUUUAUCAGCUUGCUGUUAUCCCUCAGCUGAUUAUUGUUAUUAUGGAAUAUGAAUUGAUCCAAUAAUGUGGAGUCUUAAUAUCCCUCUUUUUUAAAAAAAAAAAAAAAAUCUGAAAUCUUAAUAUCCCUGUUGUUUCUUCUGAUAUUGCUCAUUUGAUUAUGAAUUAGGUAUAUCCAUGCAGAUCUACAUGGAGCUUCAAGUACUGUGAUCGAGAACCACAAGCCUGAACAUCCAGUACCCCCUCUUACUUUGAGCCAAGCAGGAUGUUUCACUGUAAGUUGGUCAUCUUUCAAUAUUCUUUUGGUAUUAUUUCAUUUUAUUGUGUCUUAAGGUAGGAGUGAACAGCAUAUCUGCACUCUGAAUUAUUUAGCUUGCAAUUUUUUUGUAAAAUAGGUUUGUCUGAAAUUAGUUCUGCUCAUAAUGAAUUGACCACCUCCAAUGUUGGAUCCAUCAAUUUGCCUGAAGUUCCUCUUGAAGAGAGGAAUAUGUUGAAUGGAAAUGAUAGUGAGCAUAUAGAUGAUAUUUCUGGAAUACAUGUUUCUUCUGUCAAUCCACAACUUGAGGAUCUCAUUGAUAGGGCUCUUGAACUUGGAUCUAAUACUGCAUCUGGUAAGAAGUAUGCUCUUGAAACUUCUCAAGUUGAUUUGGAAGAACACAAUCAUGAAGACAGAAAGGCUAAAGUCAGAGAGAAACCUUAUACUAGCUACCAAAGCCAGAGAAAAAAAUGAACACAAAUUUUGCGCCUGUAACAAAAGAAAACACUUCAUUCCAUUUGUUUAGCAGUUUAGAUGUACACUUGUAGGUUCUGGCUUGCUUCAUAUGCUAGUGUAUUUGAUAAGUAGGACCAACAGGCAUAGGCGCAAAAACUGGGGUGUGAGAGUUUGGCAGUGCAAUACUUUUGUUUCAGUGCCACUAAACAAGACAAGAACAACCAAUCCUUCACUAAAUGAAAGAUGAAGUGCAUGAAAUCAUGUAGCCUGGUCUAUUUCUCAAUACUAGCUACCAAAGCAAUUUUUUUUUUUUUUUUACAUCAGAUCUACUUCCUUUCACCUCAAUUAUAACACCCAAAAUCGAAUACCACAAUAAAAAAGUUGAACCCUCAGUUUGGAGCAUUUGAAGAACAAGUAUUAAGUCAAACCAUCCAAUUUUCAUACUUUUGGGCCUAUAGCGUCCCAAGAUUUUUCUUCACUAUCGAAAACAACUAAAAAGAAUUCCUUAAAGCACUUCGAAUUGAAAUUACCAAGGUUUCAAAAUUAAAAAACAUCCUGCCCAAAAAAGGCAUCCACCUGGAACCUUUUAGAACAAAAUGAAAUUAUCAGAAUCAUUCCAUUUUCCUAGUUUUUAUACUACUGCAGCAAUGAAACAAACAUCUCAGGUGACAAAGAAGCCCUUUAACUACAAACACUACGUUUUACUUACCAAACCAAAAUAAUUGAAGUAUGUAAAUUCUACCAAAAAAAUAAAAAGCAAUAGCAUGAUAAAAUUAUUGCAUUUGUCAAAUAAUUCAAACUGAAAAGUAAUAGCAACUUCAAGAUCCAACGACAAAGUACAACAUAAAUUUGAAAUUGUUUAUUAUUAAUCAAAAACUCUUAAAAAUUAAAUACCCUUUUGGGUUGAUUUACCAUUGGCAGUCAAAGAAUUAUUCCAUUAAUAAUUCUCUCAUGAGAAGCAACAACCCCUAAAGUUAGCUGCAAAGCAACUCAAUCAACCAUUAUGCUCAAUCAAUUAUUGAAAAUUUUAACUUAAAAGAAACUAAGCUUAGAACGGAAAAGGGAUGGGAUAUUAGUGACCAAAUAGUCAAUACAAACCAAAAGUCAUACACGCCAAGACAGUAAUACCAACAUGGAAAACAACACCACAUGUAACAAUAACAACAAGAGCAACCGCUCCUUGGACCGUGGAUGGACUCCUACAACUCAAAAUUCCUAGUCGAAUCUCAAGGAUGUUCACUAUUGAGAGAAUUAGAAAAAUACAUCCUAAGAUUGAGCUAAAGAUGGCACAAAGCAUCACCUUUUGAAUAGACUUUCUAUUGAAGUGGCUUCUAAACUCUUCAUUUGAUUCAGCAGCAUUGACAAGUUUGAUCAUUAUCUUCAAGCCAUGAGCCACCAAUGAUGAUGUGAGAAAAAAUGCGAAGGAAAUGACCUCAAACAACAUCAAGGUCCUGAUCGUGCUGAUAUUGGCAUCACAGCCAAGACGACCAUCAAUGCUAUGUAGUCCUAUGGUGGUGAGGGAGAGUCCCAGAAAUGAGGAGGCAGCGUAUAGGGAGUUGAGACUCACAACGGUAUCAAGGGCAGCGAAGUGAAUGUCAUCUCUUAUCUCCUCUCUUGAUUUUACUUGAAUAACCCUGAAAAUAAAAGUAAUAUGUUAAUUUCUAUUGAUUUAUAAAAGAAAGUAAAAAAAUGUUGAAAUUAAGAUAGAUACUGUUGGGCCUCCAUAUCUGAGACAGUCUUGUAGCCGCUGCUGUAAAGAAAAAACUUGUGAGAAUUAGUUAAGAAAAAGAGUGGAUAAAAGGCAAGAAAAAAUAUUUGCUAUUAUCACUAUGUAAAACAAUAAAUUUUCAAUUAAAAAAAGAAAAGAAAAAAUGAACAUAAAUUAUGAAUGAGCAUCAUAGUUCAAGCCAGAGAAUCCCCGGACUGUAAAGUAAAUAGUGAUGAUCGAAAUUAAUAAUUAUUUACAUCGAGGAAAAUUGUUUGCCGAAAUAUCGGAUAUCGGUCGGGCCCGAUAUUCGAACCCGAUUAUCGAUUUCCAUUAAUAUCGUUAAAAAAUCGGCAAAGUCGUCAAUAUUUCGACCGAUAAAUCGCGAGUGGAGCUGACGCCGGAGCAACCGGAGGAGAAUUUCAAAAAAUCGCCGAUAUUUCGGUUCUUUUACCGAUUUUUCGGGAAAUUUCCCGAUAUUUCCUACCAGUCCAGCCCGCGCACAGGAUACAAAAUCUGUCCAAUUUUUUUUUUUUAAAAAAAACAUAAAAUGCUAUUUGGUCAUCUGAUCAUGAUUUGCAGGCAAAGGUUGUGUUUUUCAGCCUGGCUCAAAAAUCGUGGAUUUAGGGUUCGUGAAAUUUAAAUCCAAUGGCACAAGAGACCCCUAAAACAGAUCCAGAAAACACAGGGAGCAAAAGAAAAGCAAUUUUUAUGGUUUUCUUUGGGGGGUUUUGCAUGCAUUUUCUCGGAAAUCAAACGAGGAUGAAUUUUCCCGGAAAUCGAAUGGGGGAUGGAUUUUCUUGGGAAUCAAACGGGGGUUGCAAAAAUAAUAAUAAUAACAUGAUUAGAUUAGUACCUGCGAGGAUUGAGAGUGGCAGAGGAAAAUAGGGCUUUUGUAGGGAUUCUGUCGCCUGGAGGACUACUUCAGAAAAGGCCUUCUUGAUGCGCGAGUGAGAGAAGUGUGUGCCUUUUGACUUUUAGAUUUAGUAGAGAUAAAAGAAAAUAAACAAAUGAUGAGAACAAUUUUCCUCUGCCUAUAUAAAUAAUUAUUAAUUAUCCACCUUUAUUUUGAUCAUUAAAUAAAUUAAUAUUAAUAAAAAGGUUGUUACUACGUAUUUUAAAUAAAAUUUAAAAAGUUAAAUUUUAAAUAAAAUAUUUUAUAUAAAUUAAUUUAAUUUUUCAUUUAAAAUAUAAUAAAAUAUAUUUUAAUAAAAGUAUUUUUACCUAAAUGACAACUUUUUCAUAAAAAAUUAAUAAUAUUUCUUUCAAAUAUAUUAUAUAUACUUCUAAAUUUUUAUUUAAUUUUACCACCAAAUCUUAUUAUUAUUUAAAUAUUAUUAAAUUUAGGGUUUGAAUGCAUUAAAUAUUCCAAUAAACAAGAUUUAAAAUUUAUGGUAUGAAAGAAACAUUUUUUUUUCCUUGAAGAUUUAAAAUUAAUGAAAAUAUUUUAUUAAUAUAUAUAUAUAUAUAUAUAUAUAUUCAUUGUACUUAUUAAUGGAAAAUAUUCCAACAAAAAGAAUAAGAAAUUUGUGAUAUGAAAUAACAAUUUUUUUUCCUGAAAGAAUAAAAUAUUUUACUAAAAACAAUAUUUGAAAUUUGUGGUUCAGAAGAAACAUUUUUUUUUCCCUGAAAUUUGUAAUUAAUGGAAAUGUAUGCAUAAAACACUCCAUAAGUGAAAAUAUUAGCAAAUGUUAGGUUAGAAAAGAUAAAUAAUUACUAUAAAAUUAUUGAUUCUUUAAGUGAAAAUUAUCGCAUACUUUAGAAAACAUAAACAAUUACCAUAAAAUUAUUGCAAUGGUGAUUGUCGAGUAUGCCCACUGCACCACUCAUCAACUUAUAUUAAAAAACAGAUAAAUAUUUAAAUGCAUUAAAUAUAAUAAUUUUUAAAAUUAUAAAUAAUAAGAACCCCAUUAAUAUUUAGAUAUAAUUUAGGUUGAUUUUACCUUUAAAAAAUUUAGGUUGAUUUUCCCUUUAAAAAAAUUAGAGCUAAAUAUAGAUACACUUAAAAUGUUAAUGGAAAAUAUUUAUUGUACUUAUUAAUGGAACAUGCCCAACUGCCCCCACUUUCUCCCAUUUUAGUUGUAACCCUCGUCACGCAUGGUUCAAAGUCGCAGUAUCGAUCACUGACUCUGAGGGUUUUGAGGCGUAUCAAUUUGGUAUCCAGCGAUACGUAAAAUAAGUUAAUUAGAAAAUUCAAAAAAUUAUGUAAAUCAUAAGAAAAUAUAUACAAUUAAAUAAGCUCGAAAAAUUAAUAAAAUAAAAUUGUCUCACAUUUAACAUUAUUUAAAUAGUUAUAAAAGUACUUGCUCAAAGUUAUUUAUGAUAAUGCUAAUAAAAGAAAAUUAUUUUAUUUCAAAUAUAAUAACAUUUUUACUAACAAACAUACAAUACAAUAAUCAAUUCCAUGUUGAAUGACGAGGGGGUUCGAAAUCAUCAUCAUCAGUCCUACGACGAGUAUACAAAUUGGGGUGGCAAUUCUCGUAGUGAGGAUAUGGUAUAUGUUGGCUGAGAUGAUUGGCUUGAUGAUCCAUAAUAAGGGAAAUAUGGUUUUGAAGGUUGUUCGGGAUCAACACCAUAUUGAUAGUAUCCAAAACCUCAACAAGCAAUGUUAUUGCUACUAGAAGAUUGAUCAUAUCCAUAUGAAUCACUAGCUUGUGUUCCAGUAUUUGAAUAUCCCUCUGGAUGCAUCAUUGGAAAUCGAUUAAAAUCAUUUCUACUAAAAGUGCUAGAAGAGCUAUCACAGUCUCUAAAGGUGUGAUAUGAUCUAUCAUCUACCCCUCUGAAAUACGACCUUGAUCUUACACCCAAGUUCUGUAAGUGCUCAUCGAUACAAUGAUAAUUUGAUCUAUGAUAAUCAUGCCCACUAGAAUAAUCAUCAUCAUUGGGAAAUGUAGUUAGUCUUUCCAAAUGCUUUCAGUGUUCCCAUAUCCUUGGUCGAUAUCCAUGAUCUGUAUCUUGCGUGGCAUAGUAAUUUUCACCUCAUUGUGCCCAUGACAUGUCAGGAUCUACUUGACUAACAUAACCGCCCCCAGUGCUACCAUCUCCUCCAGUACCUUCACCAGUGCUACCAACUCCUCUACUGCCCCCACUAGUGCCACCACCCCGCCUACUGCCCUCAUUGUCACCAUCAUCACUAUUAGAAUUUGAAGAAAUUUUUCUAGGAGUCUUACCUUUACGGUGGGAAUCAACAUCUCUUUCUUGUGUAGCAUUACUUAUACGCCUACUAACUCUACAAUUUGUGGCACCAUCAUCUUCAUGAACUGUUUCUCUACCUUCUUCAUUAGUGGGAAGACCUUUAUCCAACCAAUCCAAAUUAUCAGAUGAUAAAAUAGGCUCCUCUCCUUCUCGUAUCCACUCAUCGAAUAUAUCAUCAUCAUUAAAAAUAUGAUUCAGAUCAAUUGGAUUGUAUAAAUCAUCAUUGUUUUGCUCUUGCAUCAAAUUCUUAACUCGAAGUCACAUAUUGUAGUGCACAUAAACUAACUUAUGCAACUUUUUCAUUGCCAAACAGUUGCGCAACUUUGUGUGAAUCAAUGAUCAUGUGCUCCAAUUUCUUUCACAACCUAAUGAAGAACAAGUUUGGCUUAAAAUUUUAACAGCAAUUUUUUAUAAAUGUUGACCUUCGUCGCCAUAGUUGUUCCACUAUUCAGCUAUAAUAAAGAAAAUGCAUACUUAUUAAUCACUAUGAUACAUUUAACAAAAAAUGAUGAUAAUUUAUUAUUUGUAAUAGAUGUAAAUGUAUUGAGUACCUAGAAGAGAUUGAUUUAUUGCUUUCUUUGUAAGUGCACUUCCAAAUUCUCAUCUACCGUCAACAAAUAAUUUCACCUACAUCAUUAACAUUUUUUUUUUUGUUAAUGCACAUUACAUAUACAAAAUGUAUUAUUUAAAGGUCACAAACUAUUAUUAUACCUUGUUAAUAGCUUUUGCUUGUCUAUCCAAAUUUAGCUCUAAUCUCUUGAUAACUUCCUUUAAUCCAACGUUAAUUUCCGGAUGAUUGGAGAAAUGCUUUGAAUAUUGAAACAUUGGAUUUAAAAAAUAUGUUGGCAUAAGUUAAAUAAUAAUCGAUUUAUAAUAAUUUGUACUUGAAAAAAAUAAUAAAAAAUAUAUAAAUAAUUUUUUUAUUACUUGCAGCAUGCAAAUGGCUGUGCAAUUGACCUUCCCACUUUCUAUCAAUGACUUCUCAAUACUUUUCUCAUUGCUUGACCGAUGCCUUGAUAGCCAAUUUAGCUCUAUCCAUUGCUUCAUAAAUGAUUGAUACUAUGGACUUUUUAUCUUGAUCAACCAAUUUCAAUAUUUUGACGAGAGGUUCCAUAAUUGUUUGAACUUCCCCCGCCUUCUUUCAAAAUCAAUCAGUUAAGAUAAGGUUGGAUACCUUAUCUCUUAGACUUUUUAUGUUCCUAUCUUUAUUGAAUUCACGCCACUUAUUUGUUGUGUACAUUCUCUUCAAAUCAGCCUCAUAACGUAUAAGACUUUCAAAUGAAAUGAAUUCAGUGGCAAAAUGAGUUAUUCCGGGCCUUAACAGAUUUCUAUCAUUGGUGAACUCUUUCAUCAAAUUCACUACUUUCACGCUAUUAUAAAUAAAUCAUGUGAUCAUCUUAGCUUGAUCUAAUGUAUUUUUAAUUUGCUUCAUGCUUGCAAUAUCUUCAAGCAUUAAAUUAAUACAGUGGGCUGCACAAGGAGACCAAAACAAAUGUUUUCGUUUCUCCAUCAACAACAUACUAACUGCUUUAAAACUUGUCUCAUUAUCAGUGACUACUUGAACAACAUUUUUCUCCCCAACCUCCUCUACAACUUAUCCAUAAAGGAAAAUAUGUAGUCUACUAUCUUAGGUAUGUUGGUAGUGUCAACUGAAGAAUGGUAUAUCAUACUUCUAUCACAAUAAUUUCGUGGUUUUGACUUUUACUGCAAUGACAGCUAUCCUGUAAGUGGUAGAGCAAUCAUUGCAGUUUAGGGUGGUUGGCAGGUACCUUCAGGUAUUACAUCAUGAUGUAGUUGCUCGUCACUUCAAUCUGUUGAAGGUAUGGGGCAGUGUGUGACAGUCCACUAAUGUAGAUGUGAGGAUGAGAGAAGGUCCCAUUAGCUAUUCUUAUGUCAAAUGGAAAUCAUUUCUCGUAACAAGGAGGACUUGAAGGUUGGCUGGAAGACAUCGCCCAUCUAAGGAGUCCAGUGCCAUUUGCCGCAUGUCUGUAUGGCCGGAUAGAAGGCUUCGGGUACUUUGGCAACCAUCCGGACAGCUCUAGGGGUGUGCCAUGUGGACUGCUACAUGGAUUGACACAUGGAAGAAGGCUCCCACAGAGUGCCCAAUUGGACCCAUAUUGUGGAUGUGCCUGUUUUCAGUUCCCAUUGUGGUGCCUUGUCCUUUGCCUCAAUUCAGGAAACCUACUAAAUCGAGACCAUUCCAUAAUCCAGACCGGGAAAUCGCAGCUGAUGGAGGCGCUUGCUGAGUCUGGUUACCAGGUUCAAUCUACCUUGGUCAUUCCAAAUCCACCGUCAAUGAUAGUGGGUGAGUUGUUGGUCUUGUUUGGGAUUACGUGGGUGAAAAACUCAGGUUGUGCAUCAAGCUCAUGACUGUUGAGGUCUUAGAAAGAACCAAAGUUUCUGCAGUUCAUGAAAGAGGAGCUUUUACUAUGGAAGGAGCUGGAGGGGAUGAGACCAAAUCCAGCUCGAGAAGACUCUUUAUUUGGGAUUUGCUGUUUUGGUAUGGAGAACUGGUCUUCUUCAGGUUUCAGGUCAAAUAUGGGUAGCAUGAGGAGCAACAACCCUUGUAUCCCAAUUUUUACUACGGAGAUAUUGAGAGACCUUCCUCAACAGUGAGUUCAAGUCUUGAGGAUGAGAUUUCGAGGAUUUCUGAAAGUUGAAAGCAUUAGGUGCUUAAUUGGUCCGUCAAUCUCCACCUCCCCUAUUUCUGAGUAAUCAUUCUCAAAGGUCUGCAGAGCUCCCUGGACGGAAAAUGUGUAAAGCCUGUGUAGGGACCCCUCCCCCUGAUGACACGUGGCGCGCAUCGCUAUCCGGAGCAACUCUAUUCGAACUCCCCAAGAGGACAUGUGGCGCGCUACCCUAUCCGGACUCCCCAGGGGAGGCACACGACACUCGCAAGUGUCAUGCCCGGACGACAGUAUAUCCUACCCGGAUAUAUUGUCCGGAUCAUUGACCGUAGCGAGCAAGCCUUGAUGAGUCAUCCCCGACAGCCUGCCACAGCCCACGUUCUACCGCCUGCAGAACGAAAGGAUAGGAUCGAUGGCAAGUCGCCUCCCAUGAUCUCUGACAGCCGUCUGUAGGGUGAUGAUGACCCUGCCAUCACCUAGAAGCAUCAUGACGAGCCAAAAAGUCUUCCCACCAUUAAAGAGGGAGGCAGAGCUUUUGACACUAUAUAAAAGGGUCUUCACACAAGGAAGAAGGUAAACUCACUAUCCUUGAAAAAGGCCAAUAGCUUAAUCUCUCGAGCCAUGGCUAACAAAACCAUCGGAGGGUGUGUCCGGACACCCUGUCCGGACAUCUUUUGCAGGGAAGACUGAACCAGAACUCAAUCUUGGUUGAAAGCGUGCGUCCACUUGGCAGCUACGUGGAUCACUGGGACGCAAGGCAUCAACAGCCUAGGCGGUGAACUGGUAAGGGUAGGACAAAUGGUUGGAAAAUCCCAUUUCAGGUUUAGCCUGAAGCCCAUACCCAUGGUGUUUCUCAGAGCCCAUCAAAUAUUCACAAAGAUUGAAGAAAAUAAGUAGACCAUACACUCUGGAUUUCUCAUUGCCAUUCUUCAGUUUACCAACUUUUUGACAAGAGUCUAUGGUCCAGUAUAAAAUCACUGGUUCCCUUCUCAUUCUUCUCAGCAAUAUCCAAACCCGAGCAACUCUUUUCAUGCAACACGUGUCUAUUCACAAUGGACUGCAACAAUUCAACAUCAUAGCCAACUUGCCCACCAUGAAGACUAUUAGUUUGAGCUCCACAUCUACAGAAACUUGUGUUGGAUCAUAUUUCCAUACUGCCUUCCCAAAUCUUGAAUUCCCAUUAAUGCUGCCAUAUCCAAGCCAAAAUUCCCUAAGACUCCAUGGUGGUGCAAUAUUUUUGGUCUUAAACUAUCUCAAGUUUCAUACUAUCUAUUAAUUAUUCCUACUCAUCUGAAGCAAUUUCCUAGUGAGUUUUUUUAUCCUGAUUUUAUAGGGUUUCUAACCUUUUGUCAGUUUUUGUUUAAUCCUUAUAGAUAUGUUGAAGAAUUAUAUGAUACGAACAUGCAAAUUCAGGUUAAGAAAAAAUUGAGGCCACUUUGGGAAUUUAUAUUUUUAAAUUUUUUUAGUUAUUUUACCAACAUCAUAGUAGUAUUAGUGAUAAAUGGUUUUAGAUUUCUCAAUUAUUGAAAAAAGGGUAAGAGCCAUGCCCCUACUUUGAUGGAUUUGAGAUGUGGUUGGAACCAAUAAAGUUUGGAAUUUGAAUUGUUAGAGCUAUCAUUUGUUUCCCAAAUUGGAUAUGGAUAUACUUUUGCCUCAUAUCAUUUGGGGAAUAUUUAUAUCAAUAAUAUUGUGUCAUUGUAGAUGAGGUACUUUUCAGAAAAGAAAAAUAUAUAUAUAACUAGUUUUACAAUCAUGUUGGUUAAGGAGCGAGGAUGAGUGUGCCUACUUAGGCCUGCACACACCCUUCAAUCAUAUUGUUUCUUUUUAUCUCUCUCAAUGCAAAUCGCUUUCUUUUUAUCUCUCCCAAGGAAGAUUAUAGAUACAACUUGAUGAUGAGUAGUGGAAAAAUUUUCAUGGUGAUUGAGAUUAACAUGGACAUUGGGUUGAAGUAUUUCCUAUAACUAUGGUAGAUUGUCGCUUUCAUUGAACAUAAUUACCUUUUGUAUUUUUUUGCUAUUAUAAUCAUAGACCAUAUGCAUUUGAGUCCAUCAAUUCUCCUGUUUUUAGAAUUUACUCUAUGCAUCCUAUGGGUCUACUAUGUGUCUACUUUUUAAAUAUUUGUUUUUUUAUUGAAAUGAGGGUUCCUACGUUUUUUUUGUGCUGAUUGGUACAAGUUGAAAUUAUUGCAGUUCAUCUACCAAUGACUUAAAUGUCAUGGUCUAGAUGGCUCUGUUAUGAACCUUAGAGCUUUGCAUCAACAAUUUCGAUGUGAUCCUUAUAUGUGGCAUGAAGCUCUUUUAGGCAAGAUAAUUGCUGAUGGUAUCCAAUUAUUUGUUUCAAUUGACUCACUUUUUUUUAAGGUUAAUUUGAGGCAAUCUCUGGUUUGAAGGUUAACUUGAAUAAAAGUGAGUUGAUCCUUGUGGGAAGGGUGGAGAACGUGGAUGAUUUGGUUUGUGAGCUGGGCUACAAGGUGGGUAGUUUACCUUCUACUUACUUUUGGAUGCCUUUGGGGGCAUCUUUUAAACAAUGGGACAAAAGCAGAAUUAGAUGUAUAAACGUCCCCAAAAUGGAUUCAAAAUUAAGGAAUGGAAAUGGAGGCUAUUGAUUACUACCCAAAAAGUGUUAUUUUACACCUUUAAGUCAUUAUGUUUUAAGCACUUUUGUGUAGUAAUUCUUCAUCUUUAUUCCAAUUGGCAUGUUAAGGACCUAGCAAUGACUCCUAAUCAUAUUUGUGGCUAGUUUUAGUGUUUUUGACAUCUUUUUAGAUCAUUAAGACAAGCCAUCCAAAGGAGAAAAGCAAAGAAAACCAAAGAGAAGCAAAGAGAAGCAAGGAGGAAAACAGAGGACAGCAGCUGCAGUCUUCUUUGGCACUUUUGGAGCACUUCCCGAAGUCCAUUUUUUACAUUCUAUAUACCAUUUCAAAGCUCAGGAAGUCAAAAAUCCAACGCUUCAAACCGUGUACGAUUUGGAGCUGAAANNNNNNNNNNNNNNNNNNNNNNNNNNNNNNNNNNNNNNNNNNNNNNNNNNNNNNNNNNNNNNNNNNNNNNNNNNNNNNNNNNNNNNNNNNNNNNNNNNNNUUAAAUACAGGUAGUUGAAGUUCAUAAAUGGCUUUUAAAUCCAAAGUUUGCUUUUAAAUCCCUUAGAAUCACUUUGAAUGGCCAAUACAUGGUAAGCUUCAGGUCUCUGUGGAUGCUUAUUGCUAGAUCCAUAUCAGUCCAUUAGUUAUCAUGUACGAGCCAUUGGAAAGUGGUUCAAGGUGAAGACCCAUAGUGUCUAAAGCCAUUAAUGGACCUUGACUACCAUUUCUAUUGAUUUUUAUGGAUUAAAUCUUCAUUGUUAAACCUAUACCGGUUCGGGAAAUAACUAUAGGUUAAAUCCCCAAUGCGAGGAGAAAAAUCCGGAAUUUUCCACUUUGCAUUCUAAACUUGAUCCUAGCAAUCCUGAGCUCCGGGAGACUUUCUUUCUUCCAUUUUUAAUUAGUUUAUGUUAAUUUAGUUUCAAACACUUUCAAAACAAAUUUUAUUUUCUUUUAAACUCUAAAUUUUUUAUAAAGGAAAUCAUUAAAUUCAAUUCCUAAUCAUGAGUAUAUCACUGGUAGAAUGAAAACCCAUCACAGAGUUCGACCUUAGAGCCACUAUACUAUAGUAGCUUUGCUACACUAGUAUGAGGUCAUAGGUUUUAUAAAUGUUUUUGAUUAAAUGACCCGACUGGAUUUACAUACGCGAAUCAAAAUGGCGCCGUUGCCGGGGAUGGUGCCACGAUACAGUGAUACAACCUUUUAGAGGCUACUUGUGAUUUUCAUCACAAGUUUGGUGAAUUCCUUUUUCACUAACUUUUUUUUUUUUAUUGUAGAAUUUCUUUUGUUUUCUUUCUAACUUUAACUUUCUUCUAGUUUUUUUUUUGUUUUUGUUGUCUUUGUUUUGUUUUCAGGCAAGUAGUGAUUUGUGCAUGCCCUAUUGGAUUCGGGACCAAGAGGGAAGAUUAGUAAGGAUUGAGAAUCCUUAAGACACAGAGUUGGAUAUCUGUGUAAACAUCAUGGACCCUCCACAAGAGGAUCAGAAUUCUCAACAAGGUCAAGGGGGUAAUCCAAAUGCAUAUCUAUCCAUGAAGGAUAGAAUACACCCACCAAGGAUGAGUGCACCCUCAUGCAUCAUACCUCCUCUUGAGCAGCUGAUUAUAAGGCCCCAUAUUGUGCCCCUUCUACCAAAUUUCCAUGGAAUGGAGAGUGAGAAUCCAUAUGCCCACAUCAAGGAGUUUGAGGAGGUGUGCAAUACCUUUAGAGAGGGAAGAGCUUCAAUAGACUUGAUGAGACUCAAGUUAUUCCCUUUCACUUUGAAGGACAAGGCAAAAAUAUGGCUUAAUUCUUUAAGGCCAAGGAGCAUAAGGAAUUGGGUUGAUCUUCAGGCCGAGUUUUUGAAGAAAUUUUUCCCCACCCAUAGGACCAAUGGGUUGAAGAGACAAAUCUCAAACUUUUCUGCAAAAGAAAAUGAGAAGUCCCAUGAAUGUUGGGAAAGGUAUAUGGAGGCCAUCAAUGCUUGUCCUCAUCAUGGCUUUGAUACAUGGCUCUUGGUGAGCUAUUUCUAUGAUGGGAUGUCUUCCUCCAUGAAGCAAAUUCUUGAAACCAUGUGUGGGGGAGAUUUUAUGAGUAAGAAUCCGGAAGAAGCCAUGGAUUUUUUAAGUUAUGUAUCUGAGGUAACAAGAGGAUGGGAUGAGCCCAACUCAAAGGAAUUGGGAAGGAUGAAAGCUCCUGUAAAUCCAAAGGGUGGAAUGUACAUGUUAAGUGAAGACAUGGACAUGAAAGCUAAGGUGGCAACAAUAGCAAGGAGGUUGGAAGAACUUGAGUUGAAAAAGAUGCAUGAAGUCCAAGCCAUUUCCGAGACUCAAGCCCAUGCCAUGCCAUGCACCAUUUGCCAAUCAUGUGAUCAUGUGGUAGAUGAGUGCCCAACCAUGUUAGCUGUGAGGGAGAUGUUAGGUGAUCAAGCCAAUGUUGUGGGGCAAUUUAGGCCUAACAACAAUGCACCUUAUGGAAACACCUAUAAUUCAAGCUAGAGAAACCAUCCAAAUUUUUCUUGGAAACCAAGACCACCUCCAUACCAACCACAAGCCCAAACUCAAGCACCUCAACAAACCUCUUCAGUGGAGCAAGCCAUUGCGAACCUAAGUAAAGUCAUGAAUGACUUUGUGAGUGAACAAAGGGCAAUCAACUCCCAAUUGCACCAAAAGAUUGAGAAUGUUGAGAGUUCUCUAAAUAAGAGAAUGGAUGGGAUGCAAAAUGAUCUAUAUCAAAAUAUAGAUAAUAUUCAAUACUCCAUCUCUAGGCUUACCAACCUCAACACAGUGAAUGAGAAAGGAAAGUUCCCCUCUCAACCAAGCCAAAAUCCUAAGGGUGUUCAUGAAGUUGAAACCCAAGAGGAGGAUUCUUCAAAGUUGAGGGAGGUCAAAGCUGUGAUCACCUUGAGGAGUGGAAAAGAGGUUGAUCAACCCUUGCCUAAGGUGAGGCAAGAUAAAGAACUCUUGUCAAAGAAAACCUUGGUUAAAGAGAGCCAUAACCAAGAAGAGGAGAGUGGGAAGAAAAGUGCAUCCAAAUCAAGCAUUGAAGAAGAGCCGAGGAUAGUGAUUAAAGAAGAUAUGAUGAAGAAACAUAUGCCUCCCCCUUUUCCUCAAGCUUUACAUGGAAAGAAGGAAAUCAAUAAUUCAUCAGAAAUUCUUGAAGUCUUGAGACAAGUGAAGGUGAAUAUACCCUUACUUGAUAUGAUCAAGCAAGUCCCCACAUAUGCAAAGUUUCUAAAGGACUUGUGCACGGUUAAGAGAGGGCUACAUGUGACAAAGAAUGCAUUCCUCACUGAGCAAGUAAGUGCUAUCAUUCAGAGUAAGUCUCCAGUUAAGUAUAAAGAUCCGGGUUGCCCCACCAUUGCAGUCAACAUUGGAGGGACACUUGUGGAGAAAGCUUUACUAGACUUGGGGGCAAGUGUGAAUUUGCUCCCAUACUCUAUGUACAAGCAACUGGGACUUGGAGGAUUGAAGCCCACAACCAUCACUCUCUCCUUAGCUGAUAGGUCUGUCAAAUCCCAAGGGGGGUGAUAGAGGAUGUUCUAGUUCAAGUGGACAAAUUCUACUAUCCCGUGGAUUUUGUUGUGCUUGAUACUGAUCCCACUGUUAAGGAAGCCAAUUAUGUGCCAAUCAUCCUUGGGAGACCUUUCCUGGCAACCUCUAAUGCCAUCAUCAAUUGUAGAAAUGGGGUGAUGCAACUCACAUUUGGAAACAUGACCUUGGAAUUAAACAUAUUCCAUCUUUGCAAGAGGCAUCUUCACCCAGAUGAGGAUGAAGGAUUGGAGGAGGUGUGCCUGAUCAACACCUUGGUUGAAGAGCAUUGUGACAAGAGCUUAGAAGAGAGCUUGAAUGAAAGCCUUGAAGUGUUUGAAGAAAGGUUACCUGAACCCUCUGAUGUGCUAGCUAUCAUGUCUCCUUGGAGGAGACGGGAAGAGAUCUUACCACUGCUCAAUAAGGAGGACUCACAAGGAGCAGCUAUGGAGGACCCUCCAAAGCUUGUUUUGAAGCCACUUCCUGUUAAUUUGAAGUAUGCAUACUUGGAGGAAGAUGAGAAAUGUCCAGUGGUGGUCUCUUCAAAUCUCACAAGUGAUCAAGAGGAUAGUCUUUUGGGAGUCCUCAGAAAAUGCAAGAAAGCCAUUGGAUGGCAAAUUUCUGAUCUGAAAGGGAUUAGUCCUUUGGUAUGCACCCACCAUAUCUACAUGGAGGAAGAUGCAAAACCAGUGAGGCAACCCCAGAGGAGGUUGAAUCCUCACAUGCAAAAGGUGGUGACGGGUGAAGUUCUGAAGCUACUACAAGCAGGGAUCAUAUAUCCCAUUUCAGAUAGCUUGUGGGUGAGCCCCACCCAAGUAGUUCCAAAGAAAUCUAGAAUCACUGUGAUCCAGAAUGAGAAAGGGGAGGAAGUCUCUACACGUCCUACCUCAGGAUGGAGGGUGUGUAUAGACUACAGGAGGUUGAAUUUAGUGACUAGGAAGGACCAUUUCCCAUUGCCUUUCAUGGACCAAGUCCUUGAGAGAGUCUCAGGACAUCCUUUCUACUGUUUUCUAGAUGGUUACUCGAGGUACUUCCAAAUAGAGAUUGAUUUGGAAGAUCAAGAAAAAACAACCUUCACAUGCCCCUUUGGUACUUUUGCGUAUAGGAGAAUGCCCUUUGGUUUAUGUAAUGCUCCUCCAACUUUCCAAAGAUGUAUGCUAAGCAUCUUCAGUGAUAUGGUGGAACGCAUCAUGGAAGUGUUCAUGGAUGACAUCACUGUAUAUGGAAGUUCUUUUGAGGAGUGUUUGUUGCACUUAGAAGCUGUUCUCCACAGAUGUAUUGAGAAAGACCUAGUGCUAAAUUGGGAGAAGUGUCAUUUUAUGGUACAACAAGGCAUUGUCUUAGGACAUGUAAUAUCCAAAAAUGGCAUUGAGGUAGACAAGGCAAAGGUGGAGCUAAUUGUUAAGUUGCCACCUCCCACAAAUGUUAAAGGAAUUAGGCAAUUCCUAGGACAUGUCGGGUUCUAUAGGAGGUUCAUUAAGGAUUUCUCAAAAAUCUCAAAGCCUCUUUGUGAACUCUUGGUAAAUGAUGCCAAGUUUGUGUGGGAUGAGAAGUGUCAGAAGAUUUUUGAGGAAUUGAAACAAUUCCUCACAACUGAACCAAUAGUGAGAGCCCCAAAUUGGAAAUUACCUUUUGAGGUAAUGUGUGAUGCAAGUGAUCUUGCUAUGGGGGCUGUUUUGGGGCAAAGAGAGGAUGAAAAGCCUUAUGUGAUUUAUUACGCGAGCAAAACUUUGAACGAGGCUCAAAGGAACUACACAACUACUGAGAAGGAGUUGUUGGCAGUAGUUUUUGCCUUGGAUAAGUUUCGUGCCUAUUUAGUAGGGUCCUCUAUAGUGGUGUUCACUGACCAUUCCGCUUUGAAAUACUUGCUAACCAAGCAAGAUGCCAAGGCAAGAUUGAUAAGAUGGAUCAUUUUGCUCCAAGAAUUCAAUCUCCAAAUCCGGGAUAAAAAGGGAGUAGAAAAUGUGGUAGCUGACCAUUUGUCAAGACUUGUGAUAGCACAUGACUCACAUGGUCUGCCUAUCAAUGAUGACUUCCCUGAGGAGUCUCUCAUGUCAAUAGAUGUAGCUCCUUGGUAUUCUCACAUUGCAAAUUACUUGGUUACUGGGGAAGUUCCAAGCGCGUGGAGUGCCCAAGACAAGAGGCAUUUCUUUGCUAAGAUCCAUGCCUAUUAUUGGGAGGAGCCUUUUCUCUUCAAAUAUUGUGCGGAUCAAAUCAUAAGGAAAUGUGUUCCUGAACAAGAGCAAUCAGGAAUUCUUUCCCAUUGCCAUGAUAGUGCAUGUGGAGGUCAUUUUUCCUCCCAGAAAACAGCUAUGAAAGUGAUCCAAUCAGGGUUUUGGUGGCCCUCUCUUUUCAAGGAUGCCCACUCUAUGUGCAAGGGAUGUGAUCGGUGUCAAAGGCUUGGUAAGCUUACACGCCGAAAUAUGAUGCCCUUGAACCCUAUUUUGAUAGUGGAUGUCUUUGAUGUUUGGGGGAUAGACUUCAUGGGACCAUUUCCAAUGUCAUUUGGACAUUCCUACAUUUUGGUGGGAGUGGAUUAUGUCUCUAAGUGGGUUGAAGCAAUCCCAUGUAGGAGCAAUGAUCAUAGGGUGGUUCUUAAAUUCCUCAAGGAUAACAUCUUUGCAAGAUUUGGAGUGCCUAAGGCCAUUAUAAGUGAUGGAGGAACCCACUUUUGCAAUAAACCUUUUGAGACUCUUCUAGCCAAAUAUGGGGUUAAGCACAAGGUAGCUACACCUUAUCACCCUCAAACAAGUGGCCAAGUUGAGUUAGCCAACCGGGAGAUCAAGAAUAUAUUAAUGAAGGUGGUGAAUGUGAAUAAGAAUGAUUGGUCUAUUAAGCUCCUAGAUUCCUUAUGGGCGUAUAGGACCGCUUACAAGACCAUUCUUGGAAUGUCUCCUUAUCACCUUGUUUAUGGCAAAGCAUGCCAUCUUCCAGUGGAGAUUGAAUACAAAGCAUGGUGGGCAAUCAAAAAACUCAACAUGGAUUUGACAAGAGCCGGGUUGAAAAGAUGUUUGGAUUUGAAUGAAUUGGAGGAAAUGAGAAAUGAUGCUUACCUCAAUUCAAAAAUUGCAAAGGAGAGGUUGAAGAAAUGGCAUGAUCAAUUGGUAAAUCAGAAGAAUUUUGCCAAGGGGCAAAGAGUCUUGCUUUAUGACUCUAAGCUUCAUCUUUUUCCGGGAAAAUUGAAAUCAAGAUGGACGGGUCCUUUCAUAAUUCAUGAAAUGCAACCAAAUGGAGUAGUGGAACUACUCAACUUCAAUAGCACUCGAACUUUCAAAGUUAAUGGGCAUCGUCUCAAGCCCUAUAUCGAAUCUUUUUCCCGAGACAAGGAGGAAUUCAUUCUCCUUGAUCCACCUCCAACAUGAAAACACUUGGUUCAUGGUUGAACUUAGUCUCUCCAAAGACUAAAAAGUUCAUCCUCUUUUUGUUAUCUUUUAAGUUGAUUUUAGUUUAAUCUAAUGUUUUCUUGUGUUUAUGCAUGUUUUGAUUUCUAUUUUUGACUUUAAUUUCAUUCUAAUGUGGUUUGAAUUUUUUUUUUUUUUUGUUUAAAUGUAGGUAGGAAGGCUUGAAGGCUUGAAGAAUGAAGUCUUGGUGAAAACAAGGGAAAACAGGGGAGAAAAGACAAGACUCAACAAAAUUCGCAUACCCCCUUGUGGUGUGCGAAAAUUUCACACACCACUUACCCUGUGCGAAUUUGCUUUUGCACCACUUUUCAAAAAUUGCAUGCUCUCGGUCCCUUGUGCGAAUUUCACAGGAAUGCGAACCUUGUGCGAACCCUGUGCGAAUUCGUUUUUUGCGCCAAUUUUCAAAACCAUGCUCUCUGUCUUGGAGAAUCACAGGUAUGCGAAAAUUUCGCACACCAUUUUCCCCUGUGCGAAAUUCAUUUUUCUCUUUAAAAGCUAUGUUCUCCACUUCAAAGUCUUAGCUUCUUCUUCAAUUCUCUCAAAACCUCUCUUCCGAUCACCCAUUUCCAUCCACAAAGCCCCUCUUCUUCAUCAUUCCUCAUCAUCAACACCACCAUGGCAGCCCAUCUCCAUAGCUCCAUUCCAUAGCCGCGCAUUCACUAUUCACCACUUCCCAUUUUCGGCAAUUUCACCUCCUUCCACCAUCAAAAUCCUUUCAAAUCUUCACCCAACCCUCUAAAUCCAUCCACAAUCCAAUCCCAAACCUUGUUCUUACCAAACCAUAAGCAUUCAAGCCAUGGUUUCUUCAUAAGAAACCCAUUGCCGCCGGCCAUGGGAGCUCCCAAUCUUCAAUUUUCCUCUUGAAAAGCUCCAAUUUCCAAGCCUAUUCACCAUGACAAAUCUUUUUCAUACCUAAGCCAGCUUUUCCCACCCUCAAAGGCCACAAAUUUUCACCAUCUCAAACAAACCACAAUUCUUCAAACGCGCGGGUGAAUAGUACCCUGUGCGAAAAUUUCGCACCCCCCCCCCUUGUGCGAAAAUUUCAGCUUUUCCAUCCCUACCUUCCCUAAUCCCAAACCUCUGAGCCUCAUUUCAUCGCUUCAUCAUGCCUAAGACCCGAGGAGGAUCUACCACAGCUCCCCAGAGCAGUCAGAGAGCCGUCCCUGUGCAGGCCCCACUAGAUGCACCCUCACAUUUACCUGAUUCUGCCCCUUAGAGCAGAUACCAUACGAGGAGAGCAUCUGCCACGUCUGUGGCCCCUCCACAAAUUCCACCUCGGAGUCCUCCUACAAAGAAAGCCAAGACUUCAGAGCCAAGAGAGUCCUCCAGAGCACCUCGAGAUUCACAGUCUCAGCCUUCUUCCGCCAGGCGCCCUAGACCCAGCUUACCCAUUGAGGGCAACUCCGAUUGCCGAUUGAGAGACUUUCAUGUCGAAGCAUAUUUCGAUCACUCUCUUAUGCGACAGCAGCCUGAGUUGCGGGAUUCAUACCGCCUACUUGAGAGGUACCAUCUUAUACCCUUUAUGACUCUGCCCCAGUUCUUUUAUCCUCGAGUAACUUUAGACUUUUACCAGUCUAUGACUACUCGUGGCGUCCCGGUACCAGCCUCAAUCCUUUUUACCAUUGAUGGACACCAGGGUAUUUUGGGGGCUAGACAGAUUGCCGAUGCCUUCCAUAUCCCUUUUGCACCAGCAGAUCCCGCUACAUUUAGACGCUGGGCCCCACUUUCUAAGUGGGACAUGGUUCAUAUCCUAUCUCGAGGGACAUCUUCCCAGAGGACCAUUUUGAGGAGAGAGCUUCCCCCAGAGAUGCUCCUAGUUGAUGUGGUGCUUCGCGCCAAUCUUUUUCCUCUUCAGCAUAAAGUGCAGAGACGAGGGGCCAUUAUGGAGGCAUUAUUCCGUAUCUCUGAGGGCUACUAUUUUGGCCCCCAUCAUUUGAUUAUGGCCGUUCUCCUCCAUUUUGAGGAGAAGGUGCAUACGCGGCGUCUUGCGAGGGCAGACUCCAUGCCUUUACUUUUCUCUUGGCUGCUAUGCCAUGUUUUGGCGCAUAUGGGUUUUCCUGCAGACCCUCGUUCAGAGCCCCGCCACCAUUGUCGAGAGAGCUUCUCUCUUGACCAAUGGACUCAGAUAUGGCUCCAUCGCCAGUCCCCAGAACUUCCCGAGCCAAGGGAAGUCCCUCCUGCUCCGUCCACUUCAGACCCUCCACAGCCAGUACCGGAGGCAUCAUCAUCUGAUGCCCCACCUAUUGUUCCUCCUACAUCAGAGCCGCCCAUUACUAUCCCUGGUCUAGAGUAUCGUGCCUUGCUCGCUUCUUUCCAGACUUUGACCACUACUCAUACGACCAUUAUGGAGCGGAUGGACCACUUCCAACUUCAGCAGGACCAGCAGACUCUCAUUCUCUAUGAGAUUCAGCACCACCUCGGUCUUUCACCACCAGCUCCACCUGUAGCGGUUCCUUCCACAGUUGCAACGGAUGACCCCUCCUAUCCACCAGAGGAGCCUACUACUUGAUCAUACGAUCACUCCUCUUUUUUUUUUUUUUUUGUAUCUAUAUGCUACAUUUUUGGAUGUCUUAUAUAUUUUGGACCACUUUUAUACUGGGAUUGGAUGUAUUUCAUGUUUAUCUUGUAUAUUGUACUCUCUCAGUUUAUAUAGACAUCUUCUUUUUUGUGUAUUUUAGCUAUUCCAUUUUAUUUCCUCUAUUCAUCAAUCUUAUGAUUUUUCUUUUCUUCUGCAACAUGUGGUUUCUCCUGUUCAUUCAGGCUCCCUUACUAUCAGGAGGUAUCACUUCCUCCCUUUUAUUAUCUCUUGCUUUUGGAACAUUGGGGACAAUGUUCAUCCUAGUUGGGGGAGAGUUGAGGAAGUAAUUUGUUGAAUUUUUGGUUAAGUUAUUUUGCUAACAAUUUUUUUUUUUUUUUUGCAAACUCUCUUUGUUUUCUCAAAGAUAAAUUCUCAAAAGUAAAUGGGAGAAAUUAAAUUCUUAUCUUAUUGCCAUAGUCUCAGAGUUUGUAUUAUGCUUAUUAAAGUUGAUAAAUUGUUGAAGAUCCUUUUGAUUUCAAUCUUAAGUCUUCCACUCUAAUCUUUUCACACACUGAACACAUUAGAUUCCAGUUAUAAGAUGGAAAACUUUCUCACCCCCCUAAACUUAGGAAAUUUUCGACUUGGUGCCAUUGACUUCAUUCUAUUAGUGUUGGGACACCUUAUAAAAGGCCAAUGUGUCUUAUGAAUAAUUUUUGCUUCACUUGCUUUGAAACCCGAGCAAGGUCCGAGGGGUAUAUGGUGAAAAUCUUUAAAGCCUGGUGCCCUAAGCCUUUAUUGGUUGGGAGUCACCGACCUCACUGCUCGUUACAUGGGUGGAUGGGUGGAGUCCCUUUAAAAAAAAAGGUGCGUUCUUAGCCUUUUAUAUAUGAGUUAGUGUUGCUAAAGUUAGAGAAAAACCUUAGUUGGGGGGGAGAAUAUAGUUUGACAUACUAUAACUGGAAACUAAGCACCUUAACACUUAGAUUUUUGUGGAAGAUUAAGAAUUGAUCCGUUGGGAGUGGAAAUUAUUUUGAUACUCAAAUUUGCAUAAUGCCCGCUCUUAGCAAGUUGUGAUAGGUAAGUUAUUUGAUAACUCUUGUUGAUGAUUGAGUUUUAUAUCCUUGACUUGUCAUAUGAGAGUUUGAUCCAAUCAUGCCACUUGAUUAUUUUUUGGAGUGAUCAGCAUGAUUUUGUAAAUUAUUUUAUUAUCUAUUUUUCUUUCAUUUUCUCUCCUUCAUUGCUCAGGGACUAGCAAUGUGUCAGUUGGGGGGAGUGAUUACUACCCAAAAAGUGUUAUUUUACACCUUUAAGUCAUUAUGUUUUAAGCACUUUUGUGUAGUAAUUCUUCAUCUUUAUUCAAUUGGGCAUGUUAAGGACCUAGCAAUGACUCCUAAUCAUAUUUGUGGCUAGUUUUAGUGUUUUUGACAUCUUUUUAGAUCAUUAAGACAAGCCAUCCAAAGGAGAAAAGCAAAGAAAACCAAAGAGAAGCAAAGAGAAGCAAGGAGGAAAACAGAGGACAGCAGCUGCAGUCUUCUUUGGCACUUUUGGAGCACUUCCCGAAGUCCAUUUUUUACAUUCUAUAUACCAUUUCAAAGCUCAGGAAGUCAAAAAUCCAACGCUUCAAACCGUGUACGAUUUGGAGCUGAAACGAGAAAGAUAUGGCCUUCGUAAGACAACUGCUCCAGGUGUGCGAAUGGUGUGCGAAAUUCGCACACCCCCUUAGCUGUGCGAAUGGUGUGCGAAACUCGCACACCCCCCUCAGGUGUGCGAAAAUUCGCACACCCCAUGCGUGGUGCGAAUUUUCCUCUAUUUUUGCCGACUCCACUUUAGAUAUUUUCUUUUGUAUUUCUUGAUGUAAUUUCCUUUCUUCUCCUUGUAACAAGCCAAUCACAAGCUUUGCUUUUGUAAAAACUAUAUAAGGGGUGGAAAUCACCUCUUGGAGAAAACGCGCGUGUUAUGUUUUACACUUAGAAAAAUAUACAGAGCUCUCUCGUUUUCCCUUUUCUCUUUACUAUUUUCUUUUUCUUGGAAGCCAAACAACCUCUGAGGAUGUUUUCUCAGAGGAUGAGAGGCUAAACUUUUGGUUUCUUGGAGUGAUGGAAGCUAGGUGAAAAGUCCAGAUGCAAGGUGGAAAACGCUCGUGCCUUAAAUACAGGUAGUUGAAGUUCAUAAAUGGCUUUUAAAUCCAAAGUUUUGCUUUAAAUCCCUUAGAAUCACUUUGAAUGGCCAAUACAUGGUAAGCUUCAGGUCUCUGUGGAUGCUUAUUGCUAGAUCCAUAUCAGUCCAUUAGUUAUCAUGUACGAGCCAUUGGAAAGUGGUUCAAGGUGAAGACCCAUAGUGUCUAAAGCCAUUAAUGGACCUUGACUACCAUUUCUAUUGAUUUUUAUGGAUUAAAUCUUCAUUGUUAAACCUAUACCGGUUCGGGAAAUAACUAUAGGUUAAAUCCCCAAUGCGAGGAGAAAAAUCCGGAAUUUUCCACUUUGCAUUCUAAACUUGAUCCUAGCAAUCCUGAGCUCCGGGAGACUUUCUUUCUUCAUUUUUAUUAGUUUAUGUUAAUUUAGUUUCAAACACUUUCAAACAAAUUUUAUUUUCUUUAAACAUUAAAUUCAAUUCCUAAUCAUGAGUAUAUCACUGGUAGAAUGAAAACCCAUCCCAGAGUUCGACCCUAGAGCCACUAUACUAUAGUAGUUUUGCUACACUAGUAUGAGGUCAUAGGUUUUAUAAAUGUUUUUGAUUAAAUGACCCGACUGGAUUUACAUACGCGAAUCAGCUAUCAAGGCUCAGAACCCUAGUGGUGUGAUAUGAGUGUUAGGGCAGGUCCAUUAUAGCUGUCAGCCCAAACAAGAAUUAAGAGGAGCCAUUUUAACACAUUAACACCGUCCGGUGGUGUCCCACAUCGCUCCCAGUAAGAAGAAACCCAAAAAAACUUGCUUAUAAAAUAUCUGUCAACGUUAGAUUCUAAACGUGGAGCCGUGUGAAGACCACAAAGCGAACUAUUCUUUCCCUUUUACUGAAGAAUACCAUGUGCCCCCCAUCCAAAUCGGCAUACAUUUAUUAUUAGAGGAGCCUUCCAUAAAUGGAUUAGCUCCCUAUCAAGCAAUCGUAAUAAAUUCCUAAUUUUUAUUUGAUCUUCAUGUUGAUAUGGUUAUGCCCAAGGGUUUAUUUGGUUACCAUAUCAAGUGGUAGGAAACCUUAAAGCUAAUGUGGACUCACCAUUACUAAUGGUGCCUUAUUCUUAAAGCUAAUGUGGACACACCAUAACUAAUGGUGUUAGGUGAAUUCUUCGAUAUCAUAUCUUGCUAAUUUAAUCACAUUAAUAGACCCAUUCAAUGGUCUGACUUCCCUUUUCCCAACUAUCUUUCCAAGUAUACUAGUUUUCACAAUUUCCUUUUUUAGUCAAUUAUCUAAGUGAGUCAUGUGACCAAACUUACACAUCAAUAUGCCUAUUAGUAUAUAUUUCAUUUACAAGAAUCAUCAACCCUUUCGAAAAAAUAUAGAAAAAUUAAAUAUAGUAUUUAUAUUAUUAAAAAAUGAUAUUUUAAUAUUUAUUUUAAUCUUAAAAUAUAUAAAAUAAAAGAUAGGAAAUGUCACUAAACAAUGACCUUGAGGCGGCCGGGCAGCUGAAAGAGCAGAAGUAAUAAUAAUUCACAACCAUACAAUAUUCUACUCAAUCAACCAUUAUAUUCAAUCAAUUAUUGAAAAUUUUAACUUAAAAGAAACUAAGCUCAGAAUGAAAAAGGGAUGGGAUAUUAGUGACCAAAUAGUCACAUUAUAAUUAAACACAUUCAUAAUAUGUCAUACAUAUCAGUAAUGAAAACAAACAAACCUAAAUACUCAUAUUCUAAUUAAACACAUUAAUAAUGUUUCAUACAUACUAAUAUAAACCAAAAAUCAUACAUAUAAAAAUGCCGAGAUAGUAAUAGCAACAUGGAAAAUAACACCAUAACUAACAAUAAUAACAAGAGCAACCACUCAUUGGACUGUAAAUAGACUCUUACGACUCAAAAUUCCUAACUGAAUCUAAAGGAUAUACACUAUUGAGAGAAUUAGAAAAAGACAUCCCAAGAUUGAGUUGAAGAUGACACAAAGCAUCACCUUUCGAAUAGAUUUUCUAUUGAAGUGGCUUCUAAACUCUUCAUUUAAUUCUGUAGCAUUGACGAGACUGAUCAUUAUCUUCAAGUCAUAAGCCACCAAUGAUGAUGUGAGAAAAAAGGCGAAGGAAAUGACCUCAAAUAACAUCAAGCUCUUGAUUGUGUUUAUAUUGGGAUCGCAGUCAAGACGACCAUCCAUGCUACGCAACCCUAUAGUGGUAAGGGAGAGUCCUAAAAAUGAAGAGGCAACACACAGGAAGUUGAGACUCACAAUGUUAUCAAGGCCCUGUGUGAGACUCACAAUGCUAUCGAGGGCGACGAGGUGGAUCUCAUUUCUUAACUCCUCUCUUGAUUUUAUUUGAAUAACUCUGAAAAUAAAAGUAAUAUGUUAAUUUAUAAAGGAAAAUAAAAGAAUGUUGAAAUUAAGAUAAAUACCGUUGGGGCUCCAUAUUUGAUAGGGUUGGAAUUCUUGUGGCUGGUGCUGUAAAGAAAAAGCUUGUGAGAAUUAAUUAAGAAAUGGAGUGGAUAAAAGGGAAGAAAAAAUCUUUUUCUAUUAUCAACUAUGUAAACAAUAAAUUUUCAAUUAAAAAAACGAAAAAAUGAAGAAACAAAACAUUAUAUAGAAAAAAAGAAAAAGAAAAGAAAGAAAUGAUGUUUAAAGCUUACAGCAGAAGGUUACUAUUGAUCUUUAAAGAAUUUGAUAAUAGAAACUGGGAUUGAUGAUGGCGUUGAUAGAAGCAAAUCGGAUUUUGCGAGUGAUUGAUGCGAGGAAGAUGAGGAGACUAAUGGAAACAAGGGAAAUGAGAUACUCUCUAAUGUUGAUGGAAGGGCUGGAACGAGAGAAGAUGAGGCAGAGGAGGAUUAUUUCACAGGUGACAACAAGGAAUGUGAGAACGAAGGAUUGGAAACAUAGAGAAUAGCUCAUUUUGUUCUCUAAACAGUGGAAAAAAAGUCAAAAACAAAGGAAACAUAUUUUUUUGGCAUAUGCUUCUUGGGUCAUGCUUUGGUACCCAUAUAUGUUUUUCGGUACCAUACCUUCAAUCCUCCACCAAUGGCAUUUUUUUUGGCAUAUCCUUUCGGGUCAUGCUUUUUAGGUCAUGCUUUGGUACCCAUAUAUGUUUUUCGGUACCAUACCUCCAAUCCUCCACCAAUAGCAUUUUACCACAUGUUAGGGUUGUGAAUAAAAAAUAAAAAUAAAACUUGCUAUGUGGCUACCAAUCGGUCAACUCCCAUGCCAAAAAAAAUAAAAUAAUCCAAUGCAACACAAAAGUUUUAGUUCUUUACAACAUCCAAUUAUAUAAUAUGAUGAUUUCUUUUAUAAAAAUUGAAAAGUAUUGAAUAAUAUUAAAAAAAUAUUAUUUUAGUGGAAUAUUUCAUUCUUUCAGGAAAAAAAUAUGUUUCAUAGUAAUUUUUUUUUUCUUGUGCUUUAUGCGUGCAUUUCCAUUAAUUACAAAUUUCAGGAAAAAAAAAUGCUUCUUCCGAAUCACAAAUUUCAAAUAUUAUUUUAGUGGAAUAUUUCAUUCUUUUAGGAAAAAAAAAUAUAUUUCAUAGUAAUUAUUUAUCUUUUCUAACCUAUGUAAAUAUUUUCACUUAGGGAGUGUGUUUUAUGCGUGCAUUUUCAUUAAUUACAAAUUUCAAGGAAAAAAAUGCUUCUUUCGAAUCACAAAUUUCAAAUAUUGUUUUAGUGGAAUAUUUCAUUCUUUUAGGAAGAAAAAAAAAUGUUUCAUAGUAAUUAUUUAUCUUUUCUAACCUAUGCGAAUAUUUCCACUUUGAGAGUGUGUAACUUACUUGGAACACGCCUAGAUUUAAAGAAGAGUAAAGCUAGCAUCCAAAGUGAAAUCUUUACGCAAAAAAUAAAAAAAUAAAAAGAAAAUUGAGACAUUACUCCCAGAAUUUAGAAUCUAUGGGUCUUAAUCCCACAAGGACGCCGAGAGCCCUAAACAAUAAACCAAAAAGCUAACAAUCAGCAAUCCAAAUGAAAAUGGAACAAAAAACUCUAAGUUAAAAGAUAUACAAAAAAACUCUAAAUAAAAAAUAUCAAAUAAUACAUUUGAUACUUGAAAUCUUUCAUCUUCUUCAUAGAAUACAAAUUUUAAAUUUUCUCCCUCAAAAUGUUUCAAAUUUGAUCUUCAAAUUUGAUUUAUUAAAACAAAUAUUUUGUAAUAUGGUAGUUGAAACUAUUUAAUUUUCAAAUUAAAUUAGUAUCCCUUUUUGUAUAUAUGAAUAAUGAGAGUAUAAGGGUAGUUGAUAGAAUUUUCUUUUUUUAGAUAGAGUUAAGCAGUUCAUUAAAUAACAAAUUAUAUUUGAUAUUUAAUAAUAAAUUAUAAAAAAAGUUGUAAUAUUUAGAUAUGUAUAAAAUGCAUGUGAUUAUUUCUCACAACAUUUUUACCUAUUUAAUAAGUUUUUGUAAAAAUUUUAAUUUACACGUGUGUCAUUUUGUUAUUAGGGUCAAAAGUGGUAUAAAAUGGAGUCAAGAUUUAUCAGAUUUUAGUUCAUAUAAAUGAUUGAAUAAUGAGACCUAGUAGACAGCUUUUUCUCUCAUCUUAUUUAUGUAUGAGUAAUUGUUUAAUAAAUCUACCAUUUGCCUAGUAUGGUCCUUACACAGCACAUUUUGGCACCCUUUUGCUAAGUAUUGAAUUUAAAGUCAGUUUGGCAUAAUAUUUUGCUUCUUUUUAGUCAGAAAGCAAAACAUGAGUCAUAAGUAGAAGUCGCAAAGUGUAUUUGGCUAAUGGAUUAGCAUUUGGAAGAGCUUUUGCCACAAUCUAUACACUUCAUCUUUAACAGGUUGCCCUGACUGACAGUGAGGAGAGUGUGAUCUAAAGAGAAAUUGAAGCUCCGUUUACAAGAAAUUUCGAGAGAAACUCACACCCACCUUUGGAAGGAACUCAAAAGUCCACUCACACCCAACCAGCUUCCAGUUAAUACUUCAAAUUCACAUCAUCAAACAAGACCAUCAACUUCAACAUUCACUAAAGAAAUUAGCUCAAAAAAAUUCAAAAUCCACAAUUCCAAGUCUGCAUUUUUUUAAACUGGGAUUUGAAGGGUUCAACAAAACCUGAAUCCAGUUUGCACAUAUGGCACAUUAACUUUAUUACAAGAUUAAACUGGCCGGAUAAUUGAUAAUUGUCAUUGGCCUUUUGAUUCAGAGAUGGACUGUAAUGGGCUUGUAGUCGAAAACAAUGACUUUCUCCAGGUGGGGCAGGAACAGAUUUGCGAAUUCGACAUGGGCUGGAUGAGAUACAUACUCUGCAAUGCCUUCCACACUCUCGAAGGUUGACUCGAAGACAUGAGUGAAACCUUGAUGCAUGUUCUCAAUGCUCACAUCCUUGCCCCUGUUACAUUACAGAAGAUGUCACAAGUUUUAGAGAUUUAAGGCAUGAUGGUAACAGGCAGCAUAACCAUUUCGCCAGGCACAACUCAAAGACAUCAGACUCAAACAUGAACCAUCGUAAAUUUCUUCACUUAUAUGAAAACAGAAAUGUUAGAAAGAGAUCUAUUGGUUCAACUGAAAUUGUUCUGAGCAACUGAUGCCUCAUUAUCAGAUGAGUUCAAGGCAUCUGCUUGGCAAAUUAAUAUUGAAGUUCACUGAGUCAUCAUUAAGGCUUCUUGUUCAUUAUGAAAAUGGAAGCAGUCUUAAGUGGUGUUUGUUUUUUUACUUAAUUCUAAAUAGAACUUUAAUACUUAAUAGUGUUAAAUAUUAAGUUGUUUGUUUUUGUAGUAUUUUAUUUUUAUUAAGUAUUAAAAAGUAAAAAAAAAAUCAAUAUGUUAUUUUUUCUAUUUAGAAAAAGCUAUAUAUUUUAAUUUUUUCUAUUUAGUAAAAAGUUUAUAAUAAAUCAUGAAAAAGUAAGAAAACAAACAACUUAAACUCUGAAAACAAAUUACUUUCAGCAAAAAAAUAAAAAAAACAAACACCACCUCAAUUCUUAUACAAAAAGCAUAUACCGGAGAAUUUCAUCAUUCAUGUAAGAAAACCUAUGAAAAUCCAAGCAUGUUAUGCAGAUGACCUACUAAGAGUGCGGUUGACAAUAUUUUUAUUCUAAGCAUUUUUAUUAAAGUUUUUUCUUUAGAAAUGUUUUUGAGAGAAUCACUUAUCAAGUGUUUUUCCAAGAAAUACUACAAGCAAUUUUUCAAUUUUGUAAAAAUGUUUUCUAUGUUGUAAAUUAAGGGAAAUGAAUGACCACAUUGAUGGUCAUUAUGAACUCCAUUUACUCAUCUUUAAGAUGAGUAAUGGGAGUUCAUAAUGUGAAGCCUAUAAAAGGCUUCUUACCCCUCCCAUGUAAUAGCAUCCCGAGAAAGAAAGAAAGCUCUUCCUCUCAUUCUCUCUCUCUCUCUCUUUCACUUUCUCAAUUCUCUUAUUUGAUUCCUUCUUCCAUAUUAUAUAUCAAAGUAAGAUAUAUUUUAUCUCUAUUACUUUGAUUUGCAUUAUAUUUGUCCUUGUUUUACAACACGUUAUCAGCACGAAUUGCUCUGAAGGUAAUUCUCGUAUCUUCACUUAAAGUUAUUUAUAUAGAAUAAAAUUUUACAUAUUUAUAUUAUUGUUGAUUUGUUUUGUUACAUAUUGUUAAAAGUUGUAAACAAAUUAUUUGAUUUUGUUUAUAAUCAAAGUUAUACCAAUGCUAUCAAGUUAUUAUAACUGAUUUUAAUAAUAUUGUUUUGUCAUAUAUAUAUGAAGUUAUUUGACAAUGUCGAAUAUCACAAAACUCGAAUUUGUGGCACUUGACAUUUCGGGAAAGAACUAUCUAUCUUGGAUCCUUGAUGCUGAAUUACAUCUUGAUGCAAUGAACCUUGGAGCUACGAUCAAACAAGGAAAUCAAGCAUCCCUGCAGGAUCGCGCAAAAGCAUUGAUUUUCCUUCGUCAUCACCUCCAUGAAGGUUUAAAAAAUGAGUAUCUUACGGUAAAGGACCCUUUUACUCUAUGGAGUAAUUUGAAGGAAAGAUGACCACCAGAAAACUGUGAUUCUCCCAAAAGCUCGAUAUGAUUGGAUGCACCUAAGGUUGCAAGAUUUUAAAACUGUUAGUGAAUACAACUCUGCACUUUUCAAAAUUAGCUCUCAAUUAAAGUUGUGUGGAGAAAAAAUNNNNNNNNNNNNNNNNNNNNNNNNNNNNNNNNNNNNNNNNNNNNNNNNNNNNNNNNNNNNNNNNNNNNNNNNNNNNNNNNNNNNNNNNNNNNNNNNNNNNAUAUUGCGUUAUCUUCGCGGAACUACUGAUAUGGGUUUAUUUUACUCAAGGGAAUCAAAGCAACAAUUGCUUGGAUAUGCAGAUGCAGGAUAUCUUUCAGAUCCACAUAAAGGCAGGUCACAAACAGGGUAUGUGUUUAAUUGCAAUGGUACUGCUAUUUCAUGGAGAUCUGUCAAACAAACAAUGGUAGCUACAUCAUCAAAUCAUUCAGAAAUACUGGCAAUUCAUGAAGCAAGUCGUGAAUGUAUAUGGCUAAGAUCUAUGAUCCAGCAUAUUCGGGAAUCAUGUGGACUCUCCUCUAUCAAAGGUGGCCCGACAACAUUAUUUGAAGAUAAUGCUGCAUGCAUUGCACAAAUAACAGGGGGUUAUAUUAAAGGAGAUAGAACUAAACACAUUUCACCAAAAUUCUUUUAUACACAUGAACUCCAGAAGAGUGGUGAAAUUGAUGUGCAACAAAUACGCUCAAUUGAUAAUCUAGCAGAUUUAUUCACAAAAUCAUUGCCAACCUCAACAUUCAAGAAGUUAAUACACAGGAUUGGAAUGCGUCAACUCAAGGAUAUCGACAUGAGGGAGAGUAUGCUUGUAAAAGGGUGUUAGUGUACUGUACUCUUUUUUUUUUUCCUUCGUCCAGGUUUUGUCCUACUGGGUUUUACUGGCAAGGUUUUUAACGAGGCAGUCCUAAUAUACCAAGAAAAGAAUAUUGUACUCUUUUUCCUUCGCUAGGUUUUUCCUAUAGGGUUUUUUACUGGCAAGGUUUUAAUGAGGCAUAUUCUUUUAAUAUGGUGGUCAUCCAAGGGGGAGUGUUGUAAAUUAAGGGAAAUGAAUGACCACAUUGAUGGUCAUUAUGAACUCCAUUUACUCAUCUUUAAGAUGAGUAAUGGGAGUUCAUAAUGUGAAGCCUAUAAAAGGCUUCUUACCCCUCCCAUGUAAUAGCAUCCCGAGAAAGAAAGAAAGCUCUUCCUCUCAUUCUCUCUCUCUCUCUCUUUCACUUUCUCAAUUCUCUUAUUUGAUUCCUUCUUCCAUAUUAUAUAUCAAAGUAAGAUAUAUUUUAUCUCUAUUACUUUGAUUUGCAUUAUAUUUGUCCUUGUUUUACAACAUUCUAAAUUUUGUUAAAUACUUUAUUUUUUUUCCAAAAGUGCUUUUUAAACCUAGUAUUUUCUAAAAAUAUGGUCAAACAGGUUCUAAAUCGUGUUAGACACAGACUCUAAUUCCAUCUAGGUGCUCAAAGGGCAUCUUUCACAUAAAUGAAGCCACAAAAGAAAGAGUGACUUCUAAUCAAACUUUAAGAUAAACUUUCACAUCAAACUUAGAAGUACCGAAACUAUGUUUUGGUAACCUGGUUUUAGUUGUUGUGAAUCUAAACAUGUACAUGAGGUUUUGAAAGUCUUGACAUAAUUGCUAAGAAAGCGGGCACCAUCUUGGUGAGAGUUCUCACGACGUGCUUACUAACUUUAAAAAAAAUCACUUUCAGAAAAAAGUCCUGCAAGAAGCAUAUAUUGUCAAGCUAAAAGAGGAAUAUUUUGGUUCUAGCUACAUGCCAAAGCACUAAAUUAUCUUCACUUAUUUUCCUUUUAGGCAUGCUUCAAUUACAACUAAAAAGCAUUCUAUAGACAACUGAUAUUUCACCUGUGAAGUUUUUUCAACACAUGAUAUGAUAAUUGUUUGAAAAUUUGGAACUUUCUUCUCAAUAUAGGACCAGAUGUUCCUGAACGUCUAUAAAAUUUUAAAAAUAUGUAUAUACAAAGAAGCACCAACAAUAAUUAUCAAAUAAUUAUUGUAGGACCAACAUAUGCUAGUGUAGUUGGUAAGUAGGACCGACAGGCAUAGGCACAAAAACUGGGGUGUGAGAGUUUGGCAGUGCAAUACUUUUGUUUCAGUGAGAAUCUGAUUUGUAAACCUUUAUUAACUAAAUGAAAGAUGAUGUGCAUGAAAUCAUGUAGCUUACUUGGUCUAUUUCUAGAUACUAGCUACCAAAGCAUUUUUUUUUUUUUUUUUUUUACAUCAGAUCUACUUCCUUUCACUUCAAUUAUAACACCCAAAAUCGAAUACGACAAUAAAAAAAAGUUAAACGCUCAGUUUGGAGCAUUUGAAGAACAAGUAUUAAGUCAAACCAUCCAAUUUUCAUACUCUUGGCCUAUAGCAUCCCAAGAUUUUUCUUCACUAUCAAAAACAACUAAAAAGAAUUCCUUAAGGCACUUCGAAUUGAAAUUACCAAGGUUUCAAAAUUAAAAAACAUCCUGCCCAAAAAAGGCAUCCACCUGGAACCUUUUAUAACAAAAUGAAAUUAUCAUAAUCAUUCCAUCUUCCUAGUUUGUAUACUAUUGCAGCAAUGAAACAAACAUCCCAAGUGGCAAAGAAGCCCUCUAACUACAAACACUACGUUUUACUUACCUAACCAAAAUAAUUGAAGUACGUAAAUUCUACCAAAAAAUUAAAAAGCAAUAGCAUGAUAAAAUUAUUGUAUUUGUCAAAUGAUUCAAACUGAAAAGUAAUAGCAACUUCAAGAUCCAACGACAAAGCACAACAUAAAUUUGAAAUUGUUUACUAUUAAUCAAAAACUCCUAAAAAUUAAAUACCCUUUUGGGUUGAUUUGCUAUUGGCAGUCAAAGAAUUAUUUCAUUAAUAAUUCUCUCAUGAGAAGCAACAGCCCCUGAAGUUAACAGCAAAGUAACUCCAUCAACCAAUAUAUUCAGUCAAUAAUUCAAAAUUUUAACUUAAAAGAAACUAAGCUCGGAAUUGAAAAGAGAUGGGAUAUUAGUGACCAAAUAAUCACAUUAUAAUUAAACACAUUUAUAAUAUGUCAAACAUACUACUAGAUGAAUACAAACAAAACCAAAUACUUGUGUUAUAAUUAAAUAUAUUAAUAAUGUUUUCAUGCAUACCACUAGGUGAAUAUAAACCAAAAGUCAUACAUAUAAAAACGCCAAGAUAGUAAUAGCAACGUGGAAAACAACACCACAAGUAACAAUAACAACAAGAGCAACCACUCCUUGGACUAUAGAUGGACUCCUACAACUCAAAAUCCCUAACCGAAUCUGGAAGACGUUCACUAUUGAGAGAAUCAGAAAAAGACAUCCUAAGAUCGAGUUAAAGAUGGCAUAAAGCAUCCCCUUCCGAAUAGACUUUCUGUUGAAGUGGUUUAUAUAAACUCUUCAUUUGAUUCCGCACCAUUGACGAGUUUGAUCAUUAUCUUCAAGUCAUGAGCCACCAAUGAUGAUGUGAGAAAAACCGCAAAGGAGACGACCUCAAACAACAUCAAGCUCCUGAUUGUGCUGAUUUUGGCAUUGUAGCCAAGACAACCAUCAAUGCUAUGCAACCCUAUAAUGUUGAAAUUAACAUUCUUUUAUUUCCCUAUAUAAAUCAGUAUAAAUUAACAUAUUACUUUUAUUUUCAAAGUUAUUCAAGUAAAAUCAAGUUAGGAGUUAAGAGAUGACAUCCACUUCGCCGCCCUUGAUAGCGUUGUGAGUCUCAACUCCCUAUACGCUACCUUUUCAUUUCUGGGACUCUCAUUCACCACUAUAAGGCUGCAUAGCAUUGAUGGUCGUCUUGGCUGCGAUGCCAAUAUCAUCAUGAUCAGGAGCUUGAUGUUGUUUGAGGUUGUUUCCUUUGCGUUUUUUCUCACAUCAUCAUUGGUGGCUCAUGGCUUGAAGAUAAUGAUCAAACUUGUCAAUGCUGCGGAAUCAAAUGAAGAGUUUAUAAGCCACUUCAACAAAAAGUCUAUUCGGAAGGUGAUGCUUUGUGCCAUUUUUAGCUCCAUCUUGGGACGUCUUUUUCUGAUUCCCUCAAUAGUGUAAAUCCUCCAGAUUCGGCCAGGGAUUUUGAGUUGUAGGAGUCCAUCUACAGUCUAAGGAGUGGUUUCUCUUGUUGUUAUUGUUACUUGUGUUAUUUUUCACAUUGUUAUUACCAUCUUGGUGUUUUUACAUGUGUGACUUUUGGUUUAUAUUCACCUAGUGGUAUGUAUGAAACAUUAUUAAUGUGUUUAAUUAUAACACAUUACUUAGAGGAUGCAUCCUCAUCCCACUCGCUUGGUCAGCAUGCGAGGAAACCUCUACUCCUCCCCCAACCUCUUGCUCGUUGGACACACAGUUUCUUCUUCUCGACUCCACAAACAAAAAUCUCGACGGAGCUUCCCACCACAGUUGUAAAGAGAAGUUGGAAUUGCCCACUACCACUUGCAACGAACUAGGUAAAGAACUCCCAACAGGAUGCACCAAAAUCUUGGCCCAAUGCAGAUUAGUCAUCAGAGCUGUGUCAACAAUGACAAACCCGCCACAUUCAUCCCCAAUUUUCUUAAACACCAUCCGACUCCAAAGGUGUAAUGGGAAACCCAACACCCUCACCCACAUCUCCUUGGCACGACCCCCCUUGCCCAGACAACCAGCCUCAAGGGUCUUCCUCGCCAAGUGCGGCACUCUCUCCUUAACCCUUCAAGAACCUUUGGCAAGCACCCUUUCUGCCUCAAUAAGAAUAUCAAAAUCAAACAAGGGCAAGGUACCUCCAAAACCUGAAAUUUUCACCCCUUUUCAGAGACCAAAGAGCAGUCACAAAAGAACUGAGUGUACUUGUGAUUAAUUAUUAUACUACGGACUUUAAUUAAAUACUACUUUUCUCAUGUUAUUUCUGUGUUAGUGUUAUUCAUAUAUAUAUAGCCUCAUAUCCAUUGACUCCAUGAUUUCUACACUUACUGCUUUGUCCACUGAAGUUACAAAUCAAGACUUCUCACUAAUGUGAGGGUGAUAAUCAAGAUUAAUCUGGAUGAUCUUAAGCCUCUUUCAUGCAAAAACUUGAUUCAUGCCUUCAAAUACAAAGAUGAAAAUACAACUUUCAUCUAUUGGAUGGAAUUGAGAAUAUAAUUUCUAGAAAAAUCAUAAAAACAUAAACAAUUUUAAAAAAUCAAUAAAUAAAAACUUCCAAAAAUAAUGAGAUGGAUUAGCUGAGUUAGGACACGUGUGCGUGGGUGGAGGACAAGAAAAGAAAAGACUUUCCAAAGGAAGAUAUUGUUGUUAUAUUAUGAGAGAGAUAGAUGCAGGAUAGUGGAUCAUUUGGCCUCCCAUGCAUCUCAAUGAAGUUUAUCCAACCAUAAUAAGAAAGCAACUGCCACAUACAAGGACCACUACAACAUCUUGGAUAUCCAUCCACACUAGGUCAAUUUAUCAACUCUCACUACCUUGCUGAAACAACACAAUACUGAUAUAUAGAAUUAUUAUCAUACAAUCUCCAACAAGAAUAUUUCUAUGCAACUCUUUAUCCAAAUCACCAUAAGAUACAUGCAAACAACAAGUGUGCAUUAAGAACAAUUGAACAUUUCCAGUAAAUUAACCUGUAAACACAGUGAUGGUUUAGCACAUAGGACAGAAUUGUUGACUGUUGGAAACCCUUACCAAUAGAUUCUCAGAAGAGAAGUGCGUAAGGACUGUACAUCAUCUUAGCCAUCAUUUCUCAUUAUCAACCACCUUUAAUCAGUAAACCUAUUGAGAGCCUCAUAAAACACCCUGCAGGAAUUCAUCUAUUAGAAUCUAUAACUAAUAAUUAAGAAACUAAAUAAAAAACAUCAAACAACUGAAAAUACAUCCAAAUAAAAGAAACAUGUUAAUUUACAAUAGCUUUUAGAAAAAUUCUAGUGAUUAGAAGCAAUAAUUUUGGUGACAUAAGGCUCUAUUACCAUGAGGGAAUGCCUAAAAUGAUGGCAAUGCCUGUUCAAGCUGAUAGAGAGAUAAGUAAUAUUUGAAUUUGGACAGAAUAAGAAAUCUUUGUUUGAUCCUAUUUCAUCUCUUUUUAUUUUAAGUAACCAAAUAAAAACCAAGUAAAAGAAACAAAAAAACAAUUAGCUAGAAAUUAGAGCAUGAGACUAAUAAAAUAAAAUAAAAAUCUUCUAAUUGUUUAGUCAAAGCUUUCACAAUUCUCAAAGGCGAGACUAUUUCUUUCCCUCCAAAUGGGACCAAAAUAAGCAUAAUGGAGCAACCUUCUAAGCCUUUUUUUCUUUUCCAAUAAAGGAGCUGCACCAACUCAAGAGCAUCCCAUGACUACAUCACCCCCGGUCCAUCAAAUAGAGCAAAAAUCAAUCCCUUGAUUCUUAAUGAAGAUAAAUCAAACAUCUUGACAUACAAACACAAAUCUAGCGUCUUUUUAGCCAAUCCAAUUUCAAUUGGCAAUCUUUUUAUGAAUCAUCAUAUCAAUGAAAAGUUAGACAUACACCAAUACACACUACAACGAAUAUGGGGUUUUGCCGCAAAUUAAUUUGUGAUUAAAUAAGAGCAUCUUGUGGUAGAAGAUUAUAAGUCCAUGAGCAAAUAUUUUUAACCAUAAAAUUUAAUUUUAUAACAAAAUAAACAAUUUUUUCACAAAAAAAAUUUGUGGCAACAUAUCAUUUUUCGCCAUAAAACAAGUUUGUAGCAACAUAUAAUUUUUUUCAUGAAAAUAAUCAUGGUAAAAGGUCAAUUUUUUGUCAUAAAAAAAUUCCUGGUAAAACAUGUAUCUUAUUUAAUGAAUGGCAAUUUCUUUGGAAUAAAAACUUAAGAGACUAUUUGGUAAAGGAAAGCUAGUUUCUCGGAACCAGAUAUAUGCAUAUAUGUGUAUAUACAUAUUCAUUUUAGAGAUGUUAUGACACUAAAAGUAAGGACUGAGUCAGGACGGAACAGGGAAUAACAUGACAUUGAUGAAAUACUUCUAAAACCCAAUUGAAGUCAUUAUCUACAAAUAUUCUUUUCUUCAAAUCAUUGCCACUGGAAAAAAUUGCUGAAUGCUUAGUCUUAGUAAGUCAGCCUGAGAUUCCUUUAAUAAAUGCAUCCUUAUUAAUUUCAGAGUUCAAAAUUUCGAAUCAAUCCCUGUUGAACUGAGAAAUUUCAAGAGAAAUCUUGGUUUAAAUCAAUCUUACCAAUGCUGAUAAUAGCAUCAAGAAGCAAGCCGAGCAGAGGCAGAAAAACUCCACCAGUGAUUUUAGGACUAACAACUUCCACCAGAACUUCCAGGAAUUUUUUUUUUUAUGAUAUAUUUAAUAUUCAUGUUCUUUCUUUCAUCAUUUUAAUAUUGAAUACUGAUUUUAUCAUUCCUAUUUCUUGUCAAACUUGCAAUCUUUGAUACUGACACCUCUCCUUUCUCAUUGGGGGGAAAAGAUUACCAUAGUCCCAUAUGAUGAACUACUAGUGAUCACUAAACAUUCACAUGUGUUUGCUAUUAACUUGCAGGUCCAAAAUCCAACGAACUCCAGAUUAUAGUUUCAUUACUUAAAUUCAGGAAUUUGACACAUGGAUCAAAAAUCCUAGCUGUGGAGACAAAACUCCCAUUAAGUUGAGUUUCUUUCUUUUGAGUAAACAAGUUCAGAGAAUAUAGAAAACUCAGAAUGAAAAGAUCAUUAAGAAUUCAUAUAUGAAACUAAUGAAGAUUGAAAAUAAGUUCUGGAACAUCCGAAUGCAAUUUCCAUUAAUUACAAAUCUCAUAAAAAUAUGUACAAAUUUCAAACUUGGUGUGAUGGUUUAUAUUUUUUUCAUGCCACAAAUUUCAAAUCUUGUUUAUUAGAAUAUAUCCAUUAAUUACAAAUUUAAGAAAAACAGUAUAAAUUUAUUCAUAGUUGGCAUCCUAAAAUUAGGUUCAGACAUGUACUUAUUAAACUCAAACUUGAGGUUUUGAUAUUAAUUCUAAAAAAGAAUGCAUAACACAAUGUAGUUUUUUUCUCUUUUUAUUUCUAUUUUAAUUUUGUUAUUUAGAAAUGCAUGCAUAUAUUCUCAUCACAGAACUAGAAGAAAAAUUUACUGCAUAAAUCAAAAUAAAGCUUUUACAAAAACAACAAAUUCCAAGUUUUUUUAAGUCAUAAAUUAUUUAAACAAAAUUAACCACUAUGGUACAGAAGCUUUUAUCCAGCUUAAAAAAGCUUGGGAAAAUUGUGUUUUCAGCCCACUUUUCUGCCACCUUUGGGUGAGAGACACGUAGCAAAGGGGGGCAUUCUUUGCAUUGUGGUGGUUAGUGGGGCUGUUGAGGGAGAACUUAUUUCGGGUUUGGUAGCAUUAGAAAGGAAAGGGAAAAGCUUGAGCAGCGAGAAAGCUUGGAGGAAGAAGCCAAAAAGGGAGGAGGAGCUGAGGAGUUUUUGUUGGUCUUAGCAGAAGAGAGUACGGGAAGCCAAGCAAAUUGUUACUUGUGAGGAGGGUUAUCAGGUAAAGAUUCAUAUGGGUCUCAUAUUUCACAUUUUCCCACUGCUUUUACUUUCUUUCUGCUGAUUUCUGGGCCCCAUGUGUUGUUUGUGUGCGGACAUUAACAGGCACAUGAUUAUUUUGUAGAAAUUUGAGAUUGCCUGCAUAACUUUUGGGUUGCUCCCACCUUUUUGCACUCUUCCUAACCUCGUGUGUUCUCCCACCAUAACUUACCGGCGAAGACUGAAGAUCCUACUACCACAUGCAAGAUCCUAGGACCCCUAAUGAGAUGGAAUGACCCCUAAUGGUUGGGUCUGGCUGCACUUGUUUUCAAAUUCCACAUUCAUUAAAAACAGAGGGAAAGGAGAUCAGGAUAGAUCAUUAUAGACCAGUGUACCAACUCCCCAUUCAUUUGAGGGAAAACUAAAUAUUAUUCCAUUUGAAUAGAAGUUUAGACCUACACUUGUAGGUUCUGGCUUGCUUCAUAUACUAAAGGAUGAACUAGUUCUGACCAUUUAUAAUGAUACCAUCAGGCAAGGGAAGGGGUCUCCUCAAGUCCAAAGUUUGCUGUAAUGUCUACCAACAUUAUGACACACAAUGGAACAAAUUAGGAGCAUGACAUGAAGGUUGAAUCAUAACAUACAUAAGCAUCUUUGUCCAAAUUGCAUCUCUAGCACAUCAGCUUUUCUUUUUAGUGUGAUGAAGGAGGGAGCCAACUGACCUGAUAUAGUUUCCUGUCAAAGGUGAGUCUGAUAGACAUUUUUCAAGCCAAUAGAAAGAGAGUAGGCAUAGUUUCUUGUCCAAAAUGAGAAAAGAUUAGUUUGAUGGACAUUUUUAACAGCAAAUAGAAACAAACCAAGUACUGCAGCCCUUUCACAUAAAAUUAGGACAUUUGCAUAUUGUAAAUAAUAAGAAAAAAACAUAUGAAGCUAGGCACAAGAACUGAGGCUUCUGGUGUUGGUCGGAUCAUAACAUCCUAUCGCAUUUGUAGAAAUGUAAGAAUAAGAAAACCAACUCUUUAGUAGAUGCAAAGUGACAAUGAGAUGGGGACGUAGGAUGAUAAAAAGUUAUACACUCAUCAGUUUGGAGCGCUUUAAGACAUGCAUCUUAAGAUACAUUCUAAUACCAAACUAAAAUUCUCAAAUAAGAAAACUAAAACGUAUGCUUUUCAUAAUCUCUUUAAAUAGUCUCUGCUUUUCUCUCUAUAAAUAUCAAGAACAGAUCAUCAUCAUCAAUGGCAGUAAACAAGUUUGCAACGAAACACCAACAAGAUCAUGCUUAUUCUCAUCUAUAAUGUUCUUGAAUGGAUUCUGAUCCUUCUUCUCAACUCUUUUUUCUCUUUAUCUUCUGUCUGAAACCCACAUUGCGAAGAUUUCAAAACUUGGAUGCUAUUCAAAUCAUCGAAAAUUGGUUGAAUUACAAGAUAUAUGUGAGGAUUGCUCAUCCUCAUCGCGACUUUGAUUAUUGUGAAUUAUCAAAGAUUGCUUUCAUUCCAUGAUUCAGGGUGAUGAUGAGAAGAUUGUGGAAAAGGGGGAAGUAAAUUUGAGGUGUUUCUAUUGUGAUGUUAACUUAAACGGAAAAUUCCACUAUCUUUAUUUUCUGAUCAAACCCUCUUAGGGGGUUUUGGAUUAUACCCAGAAAAGGAAUUUGGUAAUAGAAACUGGGAUUGAUGAUGGCAUUUAUAGAAGCAAAUCGGAUUUUGCAACUGAUUGAUGCGAGGAAGAUGAGGGGACUAAUGGAAACAAAAGAAAUAAGAUACUCUCUAAUGUUGAUGGAAGUUCUGGAACAAGAGAAGAUGAGGCAGAGGAGGAUUAUUUCACAGGUGACAACAGGGAAUGUGAGAACAAAGGAUUGGAAACAUGGAAAUAGCUCCUUUUGUUCUCUAAACAGUGGAAAAACAAAGGAAACAUGUUUUUUGGUUAUCAAAAAAGAAACAUUUUGGAAACACGGGAAAUAAUGUAAACAAUAAGUGAUCAAAGUUCCAAACGAGGUUUUGGUGUUUUUGGUUCUCAAAAACAAAAAAACAGUUCUCAAAAACAAUCACAAAUGCAAGAAAAUAUUGGCCCAAGCGAAAGCCCACAAGCAAACAGUCCAUCCUCAACCGUAUUCAGGAAAUGAAUUCUUAAUACAGAUAGUUUUUUGAACUAGAUUUAAAGUAGGCAACUUACCUGGAACACGCCUAGAUUUAAAGAAGAGUAAAAGCUAGCAUCCAGCACACAAAAAAAUAAAUAAAUAAAUAAAAUAAAAAAUUGAGACAUUACUCCCAGAAUUUAGAAUCUAUGGAUCUUAAUCCCACAUGGACACCGAGAGCCCCAAACAAUAAACCAAAAAGCCAACAAUCAGCAAUCCAAAUGAAAAUGGAACCAAAAAACUCUAAGUUAAAGAUAUAGAGAACCCCCUUUCAAUUAGAGGCCUCAUUUCAACAGAGUCGACCCUAGCCAAAGUGAGCCAAAACAGAGAACUUGAGGAUCUCGUUUCCUCCUAAUCUAACCAGAUGAUCCGAAAAUUUCUUGAGCAAACGUGAUAUCGUCCUUCGAAACGACGUGGAUAGUGUUCGCCAUUCUAACCGGAUUCGUUUUCGUAGUAGCAUUCUUCCUCCUCAUUUUGCUAUAAGGCUUCCUCCUCAGAAAGCCUAUAGCAAAAUGCUGUAGAUUGGAAAAUAAUUCCAAUUCUACGGCACUUUUUUAACACAUAGGAUGAGGGAGGGAAAAAAAUAGUAUUUUAUAAUUGAAAAGAAGUGCAAACCCAUUUCCCCACCACCCGUUUUCGUGAAAUUUAAAUCCAAUGGCACAAAAGCAAAGAGACCCCUAGAACAUAUCCAGAAAACACAGGAAGCAGAAAAAAAAAAAAAGCAAUUUUUUUUAUUUUCCGGAGGGUUUUGCAUGGAUUUUCUCGGAAAUCAAACGAGGAUGAAUUUUCCCGGAAAUCGAAUGGGGGAUGGAUUUUCUUGGGAAUCAAACGGGGGUUGCAAAAAAUAAUAAUAAUAGUAUGAUUAGAUUAGUACCUGCGAGGAUUGAGAGCAGAGGAAAAUAGGGCCUUUUUUCGGGAUUCUCUCGUCUGGAGGGCAACCUCGGAAAAGGGCUUCUUGAUGCCCGAGUGAGAGAGAUUUGACUUAGGUUCAAUCCUUGGCUACCAUUGAAUUAUGAUGCUCUUUGAUAUAUUCAAUUUAAAUUUGUUAAGGUUCAUCAUUAAAAAAAACUUAAUUUUAAUUAUUUUAUUUUAAAUUAUAUUUAAUUGAUUAAUAAAAAAUAUAAAAAUUAAUAUUAUAAUUUUUUUAACAAGUCUUUUUUAUAUUAUUUUUAUGAUAAUUAAAUAUAAAAAAUAUAAAUAUUAAAAAAAAUCAUAUAUGUAUCAUGAUAAGAUAAUCUUUUAGGUAGUAGUAUCUUAUUGAAGUUGUUGGCUUUAAUUAUUUUCCUAGUCUUUCUGCUUCUAGGUGAAGGUUUCUUUGAUUAUCAUUAUUUGGUUUUAUUUAAUUAAUUAAUUUUAAAUUUUCAUUAUCAAAUGAUGGAAUAUAUAUUUCGUUUUUUGUUGCUUUCUUUUGGUAAGGAUGACGCUAUGAAUCAUGGCAAUUAGUUGUGGAAUUUUUUUUUCCCUAGAUGAUGAUAAUUUUUAAAAUAUGGUCUUUAAUAGUUUUAGUUGUUCAUUUGGAAGUAUUAGACAACCUAUUUUUAUUUUAUAUCUAGUAAUGUUUUUUCAUCCAUUACUCGAUUAUGAGGUGUACGAAUUAGAGGGGGAGGGGCUCAUACGAGAGGGACUAGGCAUACAUCUGUUCUUAGAGAUGCACCAUCAACUAACAUUAGCCCGCCACCUGUUGAGGAGACUUCUAUUACACCUAUAGAGGUGUCAUGCACCCCACCUGUAGUACCACUUGUUGCAUCAUCACCACAACCGAUAGAGGCUAUAUUGGUUGAUGAAGAGUUAGUUCAUAUAGCAAAUGAUGAUCAGUAAAGAUAAAAGAAUGAUCGUGGUCGAGGACGUGGUAGGAGAUGUGGUUGUUGAGCUCAUGGAGGGGUACAUAUUAGCCCCAUAGAGCCAAUAGUGGAACAUGCAUAUCAUGGACGUCCACAACAAAAAAGGAAGGCUCCUUCGUGCAAUACGCAUUGAAGAUGUUACUAUAUAUGACUUAUAUUUUGGAUGUUGUAAGUAUUUUGUAUAUCAUUAUUUUAAACAAAUACUCGAGAUGUAUAUUUAUACUUGUUAUGUUUUGGAUUAACUAACUUUUUAUUAACGUAAGUUCUAUAGUAUUUUUAUCUAUUUUGAACUUAUUUAACACAAAAUAGUAUUGUUACUAAGGUGUUUCUUGAAAAAACAUUUUUAGCAUAAAUUCGAAAUUUUUAACUGUAUAUGAAAAUUGUGGAAAUUGUCUAAUUCAAAAAACACAUAAUAUUUUUUUUUUUUAAUUAUGGAUUUAGUAUAAAUCCAAUUUUUUGGGGAUUGCAGGUGUCUUUCAAGAGACACCUUCAAUAUAAAAUCAAUACAAAUUAAAAUUUGUGAAAUUAUGGAAUCAAAACUUUAGUACAUACUGGAUUUUAUAGAAUUGUGAAAAGUGUCUCUUGAAGAAACACCUUCAGUAUAAAUCUAAUUUUGUUGGAAUUGUAGAAUGUGUCUUUUGAAGAGACAUCUUUAAUAUAAAAUCAAAUUUAAGAGACACAUAAUAGUAUAAAUUAAAAUUUGUGAAAUUAUGAAAGGGACACUUUCAAUAUAAAUCCAAUUUGUUGGGAAUAGUAGAAUGUUUUUUUUUCAAAAGACUCCUUUAGUAUAUAUUGGAUUCUAUGGAAUUGUAGAAGGUCUCUUGAAGACACACCUUUAGUAUAAAUCAUUUUUUUUUGGGGAAUUAUAGAAGGUGUCCUUUAAAGAUUUAAUAUAAAAUCAAAUUUAAGAGACACGUAAUAUAAAUUAAAAUUUGUGAAAUAGUGAAAGGUGUCUCUUGAAAAGACACUUUUAUAUAUAUUGGAAUUUGUGGAAUUAUGGAAAGUGUCUCUUUGAGACACCUUUAGUAUAAAUUAAAAUUUUUUGAAAUUGUAGAAGGUGUCUCUCGAAAAUAAAAUUCAUGAGAAUGUAGUGUAAAUUCAAAUUUGUCAAAUUAUGGAAGAGAUGCCUUUAAUACAUAUUGGAUUUUAUGGAAUUGUGGAAAGUAUAUUUUCAAGAGGCACCUUUAAUAUAAAUCCAAUUUUCUAAAAUAGUAGAAGAUGACUCCUGAAUAGACACCUUUAGUAUAUAUUGAAAUUUGUGGAAUUAUGAAAAGUGUCUCUUUAAGUGAUACUUUUUGUAUAAAUUAAAAUUUUUGGAAUUGUAAAAAAUGUCUUUUUAAGAGACAUUUUUAGCUUGAAAUCAAAUUCAUGAGACAAAUUCAAAUUAAUCAAAUUAUGGACGGUGUCUCUUCGUUGGAUUUUAUAGAAUUUUGAAAAGUAUCUUUUCAAGAGAUAUCUUUAAUAUAAAUUAAAUUUUUUGAAAUUGUAAAAGAAAAUGCACAUUUAGUUUAAAUUCAAUUAUUUUAAAUAUGUAUCAUAAUUUUGAAAAUUAUGAAAGGUGUCUAUUUAAAAGACACCUUUCACAUGACAAAUCUAUUUUAAAAUGUUGCUGCAAAAGUUUAAAAAAACCGCUUCCUAUAGACCUGUAAAUGAUGAAGCCUACUACUCCACCAAAUUAUGACUAUAUAUAUAUAAAAUUAUGGGAGAAUUGUGUUUUGGGCCCAGUUGGGUCUAAAAAUUAACAUUUGGUCCAUAUAACUUCCAUAAUUGAUGGAAAUGAUAUAAGAUGUUAAAAAACCAAUAUAUCUUUCAAAUUUCUAUACAUUACCUUUUAAGGAUAUAAAAUAGUGAUGGACUAAAAUACCCAAUAACCUUUCACAUAAGUUUUUUUUGUCUUUAUUGCACCACUAUUCAUACAACCAUAAUAAUUCUAUUUUAACAAUUUGGAUUUUUUUAUUGUUUUUUUUAAAUUAUAAAUAAUUGAAAAUCAACAUUAUUUUCUAUUUUAAAUUAUAAAUAAAGAAAAAUUAUGUUCAAAAACUAUUUUAAAAAACGCUUUCUAAAAAAUAGUAAUAUGAUUUAUAUUUUUUAUAUUUUCUUUUUGAAAAAACGUUUAAUUAAAAAACGAAAACUAUUUUUAAAAAUAAAAAUUGAAAAUUGUACUAUUUUUUAUAUGAAAAUAAUAAAAAGAAUUAAAUUUUAGUAAUUGAUUAUCCAUUUUUAUUUUUUUCCAUUAGUUAUUUUAAUAAAAAAAAAUAGUAUGUUUACAAUUAAACAAAUAAAUUGAUCAAUUAUGUGUUUUUUGUGGAACUAUCUUUUACAUGAAAAAUAAUUAAAUAACUAAAUUAUAUAUAUUUAUUACUCUUUUUAAUUUUAUUUUCUUUAUUUAUUUUUUGUCUAAUAGAAAAUUUUAAUAUAUCCAUAAUUAACAAAGUAAUAAAUCAAUUGUGCAUAUUUUUAUCUAUUAAAAUAAAUUACUUUCUAAUUUAAAUAAAUAAAAUAAAAUAAGUAAAUAAAUUUGGGGUUAUUUCUAUUUUUUAACAUAUCUUAUAUCAAUAUUUUUAAUGAUUAAAUAAAAUUUUUAUUUUUUAUUUCUUUAAUUCCAAAAAUAAAAUGAAAUAAAUAAAUAAAUUUGGAAUUUUCCAAUUGAUCUUAUAUUCAUAUUUCUCAUGGUUAAAUAAUUUUUUUAUUCUUUUGUCUUUAUUUCCAAAAAUAAAAGGAAAUAAAUAAAUAAACUUGGUUUAAAUAAUAGUUUUUAAGUAAUUUUUUUAUCUUAUUUUUAAUUACAUUUUGCAUUGAAAAUAAAAUAAAAUAACGUUUUAUUUGAGUCACUGUACAAGGUAUUUACACUAAGUGUACAUGACAAAUAUACUAAUUGUACAAGGGUGUACAAGACUAUUAUUUGUGAAGGAUUUUAAGUAAUUUUGAAAAACUUGUUUGUUUAUUUCCCCUAACCGAGGAUAAAUGAAAUUCCUUAUACACAUUGGUUAAGCAUACAUUCAUUUCAUACACUUUAUCUAACUUGUAUAUGGUCAUUUGAAUAGGUACCUCACUUAUGAUGAUUGUAAAACAAAAUUAUAUAAUAAUUUUUCUUCUUUUUUAAAACCAAACCAAUGCAAACAUGGUUAACCAACCUAUUGUUAGAUAUUCAUGAGAUGAUGCAUGAAAUUUGAGUUAUUGUAUAAGGGUAUUACACUAACUGUACAAGACAAAUUUACUAAUUGUACAAGGGUGUACAAUACUACUUUUUGUUAAGAAUUUCAAGUGAUUUUGAAAAACUUUCCCAUUUUUUUCCACUCAAAUAUUUUUUUCCCCACUCAAAUUCUCUCACUCAAGAAUUGUUUCGAAUUUUAUUUUUAAAUUUCAUCAUCAAAUUUUUGUAAUUGCAUAUUUUGUUUUUAUAGUUUUAGCAAUGUUAUUUCUUUCUACUAUUUUUUUUUUUUGUGAAAUUUUAUCCAAAUGAAUCUAUAUUUAAAAUUAUAAUCAUAUUUAUCAAAUUUUUUACUUAGAUUAUCUUUAAUUCUUUUAAUAUAUUUAUACUUGUUUAUUUAAAAAAAAUGAAAAACUAAUUUUUUUUUCUAAACAUGUUCUAUUACCUUUCAAGUAAAAAAAUUAGAUAAGUUUGAAAGUCAAUAAAAAAAAUUAAAUACCACUUUCAAUAAUUUUUAGAUAAACUUUUAUAUAAUAUAUUUUAUUUGAAAUUUAAUUUUUAAAGUUUUACUAAAAAAUUGUACUACAAUUUUCUUGUUGUGAAUCAAAAUACUUUGCAUUAGUCUAUCUAGAUAAAAAAAAUUAUUAAUAUAAUAUUAGAACUUCAUAUCUUAGUUAUUUUUUUCAAUAAAUUUAUCUUUUAAAAAAUUUUAAAAUAAAAACAUUAAAAAUUAAAAAGCUAAAAGGAUAUAUAUAUAUAUAUAAUAGAGUGAAGUGAUAGUCAAUUUAAAUUUUUUUUAAAAUAUGGUUAAUGUAGCAAAUAUAAAAAAUAAUUAAAAAUAAGAGAAAAAUAUAAAUGAAAGGGUAAUAUAAAUUUAAAAUAAAAAAUAAAAAAUAAAACUAAAAGAUAAAUACAAAAAGAUAAAAAAUAUUUGGAUGAAAAAUCCCAAAAUUUUUAUCAUUGCUUAUAAUAAGAGUAAAAAGAUUCAAUAUCUUUAAAAAUGAAAAACAAAAAAACAUUAUUGCUUUUUAUUUGACAUAAAAUAGGAAUAUAGAUUGGAAGAAAAAAAAAGUUAAAAAUGAGUAAUACUUAAUAGGAAUAGAAAAGGGAAAAAAAAACACAAAAAAAUUGAAAUUCACGCUCACUUAUGCCUGUGGAAGAGUUAAGGGUAUUUUAGGGAUUAAUGAAGGAUAAUAUCCUUCAUCUUAAUUUUCAUACUUUGUUUGGGUCUUGGGCUUAAAUAUGCAUGAUAUUUGGACCAAAUGUUAAUUUUUGAACCCAGCUGGGCCCAAAACACAAUUCUCCCUAAAAUUAUCCCUUGGAGUCAACGUGAGUUCGCUUCUCAUUGGAGGGGUCCCGUAAGGUGGGUCCCAAUCGGUGAACCCCACUAUCUUUCUUCCUAAAACAUCCUCAGGUUUUAUUCCUUAUUUUAAUUAAAAAACAAUUUAUAAUAUUUUCAAAAAAUUUAACUUUCAAUCAAAAAAAAUAAUAAUAGUUAAAUAAAGAUAAGUUUUUUUUUUAUGUAAGGUAUGGAAAAAAAUAUUAUUAAUUAUUUGCUAUAUUAAUGAUUUUUUUUUUUAAUAUUUAGCAUAUUGAUGAGUGCCAAAAUGACAAUAUUUAAGAUAAAUAAAGAACAAAAAAAAGGUAAAAGAACCAUAGAAAAGUCUAUUAAAUAAAAAAUACAAGUAAAAUAUAAGUAAAAUAAUGCAUGUCUUACAUAACAAAGGUUUAUUUUAUAUUUACGUAUUAUCUUUUAUUUAUAAUUAUAUUUUAGGUGUCUCACAAGUUUUUUAAUUAUAUUUUAUUUUCUUUACUAAUUUUCACAAGUUUUGCUUCUUUUUUAAUAAUGUCAGUUACAAGCAUCAACCCAUAAAUUUAUAGAUGUCAUUAAAUGAAGUAUAACAUUAUUUCUUAAUAAAAAUCUUUACCUUAUGAAAUAAAAUAUUAUAAAAUUUUAAGUUUUAUUUAGUGUGUUUUACUAUAAGUGAUUUGUCAAAUCUUUUUUAGAGCACGUUUGACAGUAAUUAUAAGAAGUAUUUCUAACAUUUUUAGUACUUGAAAAAUGAAAUUUUCAAAUGUUUUAGAUGUUAGAAAUACUUCCUAAAAUCACUACCAAACAUACUUUAAGUGAAUCAAUUAAGUGAUUUUUGAUUGGUGUUGGUUAAAUCCUUACGUUCCUUUAAUAAUUGAUUAAUUUAAAUAUAAUUAUAUUUAAAUAGGGCAAGCUAUACAAUGAGUGUAGGGAGGCUAAUUAAUCACACAAGAGUGUGAAAAAAUAGGAGAUAAUAAAAUCAACAAUUUAAGGGAGUACUAAUUUGCUUUUAAUGUGUUCGGAAGUAACCAAGUAGGUGCCAUGCAUAGAAUUUGAACAAGAUCAAAGACUUCUCAAACCCUUCCCUGGUAUAAAAUGGAGUCAAGAUUUAUCAGAAUUUUAGUUCAUGUAUAUGAUUGAAUAAUGAGACCUAGUAGACAGCCUUUUUUCUCAUCCUAUUUAUAUACGAGUAAUUGUUUAAUAAAUCUACCAUUUGCCUAGUAUAGUACUUAUACAGCACAUUUUGGCACCCUUUUGUUAAGUAUUGAAUUUAAGGUCUGUUUGGCAUAAUAUUUUGCGUCUUUUUAGUCAGAAAGCAAAACAUGAGUCAUAAGUAGAAGUCGCAACUUGUAUUUGGCUAAUGGAUUAGCAUUUGGAAGAGCUUUUGCCACAAUCUAUAGACUUCAUCUUUAACAGGUUACCCUGACUGACAGUGAGGAGAGUGUGAUCUAAAGAGAAAUUGAAGCUCCAUUUACAAGAAAUUUCAAGAGAAACUCACACCCACCUUUGGAAGGAACUCAAAGGUCCACUGACACCCAAACAGCUUCCAAUUAAUACUUCAAAUUCACAUCAUCAAACAAGACCAUCAACUUCAACAUUCACUAAAGAAAUUAGCUCAAAAAAAUUCAAAAUCCACAAUUCCAAGUCUGCAUUUUUUUAAACUGGGAUUUGAAGGGUUCAACAAAACCUGAAUCCAGUUUGCACAUAUGGCACAUUAACUUUAUUACAAGAUUAAACUGGCCGGAUAAUUGAUAAUUGUCAUUGGCCUUUUGAUUCAGAGAUGGACUGUAAUGGGCUUGUAGUCGAAAACAAUGACUUUCUCCAGGUGGGGCAGGAACAGAUUUGCAAAUUCGACAUGGGCUGGAUGAGACACAUACUCUGCAAUGCCUUCCACGCUCUCAAAGGUUGACUCGAAGACAUGAGUGAAACCUUGAUGCAUGUUCUCAAUGCUCACAUCCUUGCCCCUGUUACAUUACACAAGAUGUCACAAGUUUUAGAGAUUUUGAAGGCAUGGUAACAAGCAGCAUAACCAUUUCGCCAGGCACAACUCAAAGACAUCAGACUCAAACAUGAACCAUCGUAAAUUUCUUCACUUACAUGAAAACAAAAAUGUUAGAAAGGGAUCUAUAGGUUCAACAGAAAUUGUUCUGAUUCUAUGAGCAACUGAUGCCUCAUUAUCAGAUGAGUUCAGGGCAUCUGCUUGGCAAAUUAAUAUUGAAGUUCACUGAGUCAUCAUUGAGGCUUUUUGUUCAUUAUGAAAAUGGAAGCAGUCUCAGUUCUUAUACAAAAAGCAGAUACUGAAGACAAUUUCAUCAUUCAUGUAAGAAAACCUAUGAAAAUCCAAGCAUGUUAUGCAGAUGACCUACUAAGAGUGGGUCGACAAUAUUUCUAUUUUAAGUAUUUUUAGUGAAAGUGUUUUCGUUAGAAAUGUUUUUUAGAGAAUCACUUAUCAAGUGCUUUCCCAAGAAAUACUACAGGUGAUUUUUCAAUUUUGUAAAAAUGUUUUCUAAAUUUUGUCAAAUACUUGAUUUUUUUCCAAAAGUGCUUUUUAAACAAAGUAUUUUCUAAAAACAUGGUCAAAUGGGUUCUAAAUCGUGUUAGACACAGACUCUAAUUCCAUCCAGGUGCUCAAAGGGCAUCUUUCACAUAAAUGAAGCCACAAAAGAAAGAGUGACUUCUAAUCAAACUUUAAGGUUAACUUUCACAUCAAACUUAGAAGUACCGAAACUAUGAUUUGGUAACCUGGUUUUAGUUGUUGUGAAUCUAAACAUGUACAUGAGGUUUUGAUUGCUAAGAAAGCUGGCACCAUCUUGAUGAGAGUUCUCAAGACGUGCUUACUAACUUUAAAAAAAUCACUUUCAGAAAAAAGUCCUGCAGCAUAUAUUGUCAAGCUAAAAGAGGAAUAUUUUGGUUCUAGCUACAUGCCAAAGCACUAAAUUAUCUUCACUUAUUUUCCUUUUAGGCAUGCUAAAAAGCAUUCUAUAGAGUAUAGACAACUGAUAUUUCACCUGUGAAGUUUUUUCAACACAUGAUAUGAUAAUUAUUUGAAAAUUUGGAACUUUCUUCUCAAUAUAGGACCAGAUGUUCCUGAACUUCUAUAAAAUUUUAAAAAAUAUAUAUAUAUACAAAGAAGCACCAACAAACUUUCGGGUUUUCUAAGGUUUAUUCAUAAAUCAAAUGUUGCCCAAUAUGGGAGACCAAGAAGCAAGACUAAACGCCUACUGUGAAACAGCUGCAACUCAUCCUAAUACCCCUUUGGAAACAAUUGUAUUAGGCUCCUUUCAGAAAGCCCACACCACUACAAACAACAAAGAGAGGCACCUCAAGCAUUCACCCUACCGACAUUGUUCAACAAUUUAGAAGGGGAUUCUCAAACCCAACCUAAGUCAAUCAACUUCAUCCGAGUCUUCAAUACAAAAUCUGAAGAAAAACUCCAGCAAAUCCAACAGAUACAUGGAUCCAAUCUAUCCAAGAAUCACCCAUCCACAUAAUUUGAUGAUUUAUGAAAUUUUCCAGGAAUGUGUUUGGAUAAUUUUAUGCUACUUACGAUUUGAAUCAAGCCAAAAAGUGGGUCAGAUUACAUUAAUUAGUAUGUGCAGAGUGUAAAUUUUCAACCCGAUCAACAAAAUUGCUGAUAACCCCCAGAUACUUGCCACAAAUUCUUCUGAUUCCCAAAAAGAAAACACUCAAACAAGUAAAAUCACCAGAUCCAGAAGAUGACACCAUAAAUAAAGAUUGCCAGAGCAUUUGGUAGUGAAACUUAUAGUGGAAAAAUGCCACACAACUCACUCAAUUCCCAAUUAAAACUACUGGGUUGUGCCCAAAACCGGAUCCCCAACAAUACCCAUUUGGCAGAUCACACAAAAAUCCAAGAAAUCCCAAGAAAACAACUGAUAUAGAUUCAAGAGAAUAACAACUCACUCAAAACCGAAUCCCCAACAAUAACCAUUUGGAAGAGCCCAUAAAAGCUAAGAAAUCUCAAGAAAAUGACAAUGAAACAGAGAAAAAUGAAGCAAAAUUAUUGACUCAGAUUGAAGAGAAGUACCAGUGGAAGGCUUUCAUGGGAGGCACCAGAUUGACAAGGUUGGCAUAGCCCUUGAUGAGUUCUUCAAUCUGGUCAGGUGGGGUUGAAUCUUUGAAUUUUGCCAGCAAUACGUGCUUUACCACCCCCUUCGCCUCUUCCAUUCUACUCUCUCUUAGGACUCUUCCCCUUUCUCUGUGCCACCUUGCUUGCUUAUCUAAAAAGCUGUCAGCCAAUCAUCUACAAAGUACUGCAAGAAUGAUUUGAGAUGAAAAUCCAAUUGGAAAAGGUAACCAAUUUUCAUCCUUUAGAAAAAUUUAUCAUUUUUUAUUGCCUUACAUACAAAAAGAUUUCCUUAAUAUACAAAUUAUUUUUUACCUCAAAUUAUUUAUUUGUAUGGAAAUGUUUUUUUAAUAUAAAAAGUGAAUUUUUAACUUUCACUCCAAAUUUGAAGGAUACUCUCAAUUAAUAUUUAUUUUAAUUUUAGAAAAAUUCAAACUAAGAAUAAAAAUAAAAAAUAAAAAAUCAGACAAGUCACGUGAUCAUUUUCAUUGAUAAUAGAAAAAAUGUGACAAAAUGAGCAUUUAUACAAUUUUUUUAACUAAUUGAUAAGUUUUUUUAUUGUAUGCAUGCUUACCAAGGAGUUUAGACUUCACAAGCUACACUUCUUUUUUCAUUGAUUGCUACACUUUCUUGUACACAUUUAUCAAGAACUUGGGGGCCCAGAAUUUGAGAUGGAACGUUUAAACAUUUGGUUUUGCCAUCUAUCUAAUGAAAACCCAUUUGUUUUUCUUUUUAAUGUUUUAUUAUAUUUGGUUCGGAAAAAUAUUAAGAAAAAAAAAGUAUUAAAAUAAUGUUUUUUUUCUAUUUUAUUACGAAAAAUAUGAAAAAAAAAAAAGUUAAAUAUAAUUAAAAUUAAUAAUUUUUUUAUAUAUAUUUAAAUUAUUUAAUAUUUAUAUAAAUGAGUUAAAUCCCAUAAAUGGUUCUAGUUAAUGAAAUGAUCCAUAGAAUCUUCGUUACACCAUCCACCUUUUAGGCUUUGAGCAUUCUCAGACCUUUCCAUUCUUUUCAACCGCAGGAGUUGUACUUCAUUGGAAACGGAAGUGAUUUUGGAUUGGAAGCGGAUAUUCCAACUAUCUUCCAAUUAAUACUCCAAAUUCACAAUAUCAAACAAGACCAUCGACCUCAAAAUUCACUAAAGAAAUUGACUCAAAAAUUCAAAUACCACGACACCAUCCAGUCUGCAUUUUUAUAAGAGAUUAAACUGGCCGGAUAAUUGGUAAUUGUCAUCUGCCUUUUGGUUCAGAGAUGGACUGCAGUGGGCUUGUAGUCCAAAACAAUGACUUUCUCCAGGUGGGGCAGGAACCGAUUUGCAGCUUCGACGUGGGCUGGAUGAGAUACGUACUCUGCCAUGCCUUCCACGCUCUCGAAGGUGGACUCGAAAACAUGAGUGAAACCUUGAUGCAUGUUCUCAAUGCUCACAUCCUUGC